RNAcentral lists this long non-coding RNA (48067 nucleotides) under Triticum aestivum (bread wheat). Its description in RNAcentral is "long non-coding RNA (TAES_LNC017471)". Lineage: Eukaryota; Viridiplantae; Streptophyta; Magnoliopsida; Poales; Poaceae. The record is from RNAcentral.
AGCUGGCGAGCGUGAGGAUGCUGCCGUGGGCCAAGGCGCACCUGAACCCAACCGGGCAGGCGCUCAUCAUCUCCACCGUCGCCGGGAUGGCCUACUUCAUCGUCGCCGACAAGACCAUCCUCUCCAUGGCCAGGAAGCACUCCUUCGACGACGCGCCGGACCACCUCAAGAACACCUCCUUCCACUAGUUAGAUCCACUAUUAGUAAUGCCCAAUAAACCGUGUAAGCCAAAGUGCAUAGCGUACAGUGAUCAGCAAGGGGGGUCAGGGAUGCUCCCGGAUAGUCUUGUACUGCGAGUGCAAUUGCUCAUUUCGUAAUAUAAUUUUCAUCAUGCAAGUAGCCAUGUACAGUAUGUUUUGAGCUAGCAAUACUGAAUGAUGUACCAGCAUUUGUUUAACCAAUAUUUUCCAACUAUCGUGGCUAUUUUUAUGAAUCAGUCAGAUUGUAUAAAAAGUUAAGCAACCUCAAUCUGACGUUUAGUUUAAUCUUGUUGGCUCGCUGCCACCCACGUGACACAUCGACUUGAUCAGCGAAGAAUAUCUAGUAAACCUCAGAUCCUAGUUUCUACUUAGCAAAUUCACCGACAGUGCCGUUUUGAUCCAAGGUGGUCUCAGAAAGAUGCCAAAAUUUCUCAGAGGAGGGAUAUUUACACACCAUGCAUCAUGUCAAAAACCAGUGUUACAUCAUGUCCAUUCCUUGCUGCCAGUGAUCUCCCCAGAAUAUAUAGUUGUUUAACUAUCAAUAAGUCAGUCCACACAACUUCUUUUUUUGACAAAGGGUGAAUUUUAUUGGCUCAAAAUGAAGCAUCAAGAGGAUACAGAACAUGAUGAGCACACACCCGGCCUCUGCAUAGCUACCGGCAAACUGCAGCAAUGACCAUAUCCGCACCACUCAUCUUAUGACACCAAAUGGACAACGAGAUUCUUCAACAGCAACGCCUUCAGGAAGGGAGUGGCGCUCAAGCGCCGCCGUCACCGGAUCCGACGACUACGGCCAGAAUCUAAGUUUCACCCUGAAGAAUUAGUCCGAACAUAUCCGAGCAAUGCCUUCAACAAGGUAACGACGUAAAAUAACAUCGUCAUUGCCAGGCAUAACCAACUCGGUUUAGACCUGGGCUUUCACCCCGGAGCUCGAGACCGGAUGCAUGAAUAGCACCACCAUCGCAGUCACUUGUGUUGUCUACCACCUCUUUUCCACGAUUCCAACAGCUAAAUGCGAUAUGUGAUCGCAAUCGCUGCACAACCAUCCCUCUGCGUCAAGACGUUAUAUAUAGUUUGCAUCUCACCGCCGAAGUCAACCACCAGAUUUGAAAAGAUGAAGUUGCAUGACAGUCAGUAGCCACCACCACCUGGCCGGUACGAUCCGAAUCACCGCCAUCAAGCACACCAGAUCUCACAACCACGCCGGGUCGCCAGCAUGCCCUGUUCCAAUCUGGUGUAGCAGCAAGAGGGGCCUAUGGCCGGAGGUGGGAUGGUUGUAGCCCUCUUGCCACCCAUGUACUGUAUGCGCCAGGAGCCGAAGUUGGCCGUCCAGCCGCUGCAUGCCCCAGCCAGCGAGAACACAUGAUCCAUCCACCGCUGGCUAGGUGAGGGGACGGAGGAGGUAGCGCAACUCCCAUCAGCAGCAGGACAACGCGAGAGCGGACAGCCUGCCGGAGGCCAUCGCCGAGAGUAGCAUACACGCCCCGCCGCCUCGCUCCAAGCCUAGCAGAACCGACCACUUUGCGCCUUUCGAUGGCCCCACCGCCGCCGGCGCCGGCGGCGGUGAGGGGAGAGGAGGAACCGGUGUAGGCCUUGGGCCGCCGGACUGGGGCGCCCCGGUGCGACUCGCUGGAGUCGCACGGGAGCGCGAUCCCUUUUUUCCGGAAGUUGGUUUAAUAUCAAUCUUAAGUUCUUAACUUCUUGAGUGAACACAACUGAAUCGUCAUGUUCGUGUUCAAUUUGGCAAUUUCCCUGGCGAAUCACAUAUCUUGCUUUGUAUAUGCAUAUGCGAUGUUUUUUUUUCAUGUGUACUUACCUUAUACAAAAAUUUAAGUGAAUGGCAGACAUGGACGGGUCAUGUAUAUAUGUUUUUUUGUCAUGAACACGAUGCCAUUGGUGUGAAAGUGAUCACAAUUUGGUUUACUGAACUUUGUAAUAAAUUAGUGUUAAUAUUUGCACGACACCAAAAUUAUUUCAGAUCUCACCAAAAUCUCCAAAACUUAUAAGAUUUAGAAUUUAAUAUAGAAUUAGUUGGUCUAAAAUUCUUUGGAUUUGAACAACAAUAGUCCAAUUAUGACUUCAAAUUAACUUUGGUUCUGCUGUAGGCCAAAAACAAUUAGGCUAAAAUCCACUUCAAUGAACACUAACAUUACCAAAUUUCGUUUUAACUGAUUAGCACUAAUUGUUUAUCUGUAGAAGAUGAGCCGUUCCCAUUGAAGUUUUUUUACACGGUUCCCAUAGAAGUUAUCCUUGCUACAUAACUUUCUUUUGCGAUUUCAUCCCUACAAGAAGGGUUGGACGCGCUUCGCUUUGCUGUUGUUGGAUUUCACAAAGAUAAUUUUUGGUUUGGCGUGGGAGAAAGAUGAUGGAGUGUUUUUUAAUGUGGUUCUUAGUGGGAUUUGUUGGCGGUGUGAUUAUGUGUUAUCUGCUAAUCAACAAAUACUUAUGUGAGGAUGUUCCGGUUCAAUUUUUUUUUUACUUAUUAUGUGGGGAAGUUUCUUGAGUUGGUAGCCUCAUGUACUAUAUUGGUGCCAUAGUGUCACAUGUCGGCGCUUCUUUUUUUAGAUGGUGAGAGGGUGCACAACACAUGACUAGUGUGCUUCGAUUAAUUUGAGAAAUCAUUGACCCGGUCAAAAUCAUGAAUCAAAUCCAAAAUUAAAUACCUCAACCAAAUGAAAGAGCUUGUUGAGAAAUAGUUGACCUGAUCAAAAUCACAAGUCAAAUUCAGAUUUUAAAACUUCAAUUCAAUAGGAGGGCUCCAAAAUUAAGGAGCAUGAAUGAUAGCUAGUAAAAAACCUUUACGUUAUUUGAACUAGACGAUACCCCGCGCCUUGCUGCGGUAACUUUGUUUAAAAAAAUGCGUAGAUAGUUGCUAAAAAAUAACUACAUCUAAUGAAAAGAAAAUAUUAGUUUGAAAAUCAUUAAAAAAGUCUAUAAAAAUAGAAUAUAAACUUUUGAAUUACUGUUAAAAAUAUCAUUUCGAACAAACAUGUAAAGGAUGACUAACAUGCAUGCAUGAUGUGGCAACGUUAUAUGCAUAGACUAAUGCAAAAAUAAUUGCAAUUUAUUAGUUCGCUUAUGUGGCAGACUUUGCAUGACUUAGUGGGAGAGAAGACUUAAAUGCAUGACCUUAGUGGGGACCUUUGCUUAUGUGGCAGAUUUUGCAUGGCUUAAUAGGAAAGAAAACUUAAAUGCAUGACCUUGUUGAGGACAAUGGGAUGGACACUUUGCAUAUUAAAAGAAUUAGGACCAACUUCUUAAAAACAUAAAAUAAGAUAAGCACUCAACUUUAUAUCACCCCAAAAGGGCUUAGCUUGCACACUGGGGAAUCAUACCAGCCAAACAAUCGAUUUGCAGGGAACCGCUGGCGGCGUAUGGUUGCCGUCGGGUUGGCCGUAAACUUGGAGCGCCCACACCGCACACAUCGCCAACAAAACGGAGGGCACGCUGACAGAUAAUGCUCUCACGCACAUGCUCCUACCCAUACGUGUUAUCCUACUUCGCUCCCUGCCAACCCCGAUCUAGUUGCAGUCUAGUGGUCACCUAAAAGAAACACAGACCAGGCGCGUGGGAUGGUUUUUAUAUGCGGACCAAGAAGGCGGCGCCACCUGUGCUCUGCCGCAGCGCACCACCGCUCGUCUCGAAACCACGUUCUUGCUUCCCACCGUAUCAGCUGAGCUCGCCGUCCUCUCCGCACGUUGAACUCGGCUUUCCACAAACCAUCAAACCCGACGGAAUUCAUCCAAGUUCGAAUAGAAAAUACAUAGCAUGCAAAUAAGUCUAGUAAACAAUAGUUCAAAUUCAACGAGCUUAACCGGAUGUUCAAUAAGCUUUUCAUGAAUGGAUCAUGCCGUCACACAUACUGCGGCUUCAGCUUCAUCCAACAGUGUGGGUACGUAAAAGGUUGUCCCUCUAUCCUAUGGUACAUCAUGGCGGCGCUUACGGGACUAUGUAUAGAGCAACAUUGAGUGAGCGAAUGAUUCAAUUAACAAGUUGAGCAAGAAUUACCAAUGGCCACAUUGCGGUACGAUUUUCUCCACUGCUGCGCCCAAUGGCCACAUUGCCUCCAGCCGAGUAACCGCGUCACAACACUUGGUGAUGGUAGUCUGGACGGCGUACCAUCGAUACGAUAACGACUACACAUUGAGAUCAUGGAUGAUGUGCAUGUCAUGGGGCGCAAUGUACUUUCGCGCGUGAAACGAAUCAUGCACACACUGCCAGAAGAUCCCUCUUCUGCUCCAGCCUACGAACUCCGUGGAUAUGGCCAACCAUGCAUCGCAGAACAACUCAUCCUCCAUGGUCGAGUACCCCCACCAUUCUUUGUGGAAUAAGAAAACAACAUGCCAUUUGAAGAUAAGCUCAAUUACAUUUGACCGAACACCUGCCAGGCAUGGUGUCAGCCAUGGACUUUGUUGACGGGGGGUGGAUUGUGCCUGGCUACAGACGGGUCCUGGGUGGACGGCGCCGUCGUAAAAGGCGAGCGGGCGUGUCGGUGCUGAUUGCGUACGUCUGGCAAUGCCUGUGUGGGGUCCGGAGAGGUACGACAACGUCGAAGAGGAGGAAGCAAUAGGGAGAAAGGGCGGCUUGGAAGAAAAUGUGACCGGGAGGAGAGGGNNNNNNNNNNNNNNNNNNNNNNNNNNNNNNNNNNNNNNNNNNNNNNNNNNNNNNNNNNNNNNNNNNNNNNNNNNNNNNNNNNNNNNNNNNNNNNNNNNNNNNNNNNNNNNNNNNNNNNNNNNNNNNNNNNNNNNNNNNNNNNNNNNNNNNNNNNNNNNNNNNNNNNNNNNNNNNNNNNNNNNNNNNNNNNNNNNNNNNNNNNNNNNNNNNNNNNNNNNNNNNNNNNNNNNNNNNNNNNNNNNNNNNNNNNNNNNNNNNNNNNNNNNNNNNNNNNNNNNNNNNNNNNNNNNNNNNNNNNNNNNNNNNNNNNNNNNNNNNNNNNNNNNNNNNNNNNNNNGGAAAAAGUGCCUCCGGACCGGUCGGCGGACUGAUACACGCAUUGGAUGGCAAAACACGUCCGAACUGCACAAUUCGAAUGUGUGCGGAUGAUUUGAGGGUCGGUGUUCGAGAUGCCCUAAAAUGAGUAUAACGCAUAGUUAUACCUAGCUCAAAUAAAUUUAAUUGAGUUUUAAACUUCCUCUGAGAAUAUUUGAACGGUAUCUAGUCGAUUUUAUUCGGUAGCCGCAUCUUUUGCCCCCUCUUGGCAUUUGUUCAGUAUAUUUGGUAGCCAUUACCUUGGUCGGGGUCGGGAUUCACGACGACGGGAGAUGUACGGUGGUUGUGCGAGCGGUGACGUAGCUAGCUAGUGAAAACCUUUAUGUUAUUUGAACAUGUGACCAACUUUAUAUUUCCCCGCAACCAAGGUGAUGAACGGAGAUGGACCAACAUGUGGUUAGAUGGUUAGGAGGAUAUGAGUAUUCCCAAUCCAUCACGGUUCAAGUCCUAAUAAAUUCAGGAUUUUUAAGGAUGUGUGUUUAGUGAGAGGAGACGUUUCCAUCACACAAGGCGGCUACGGUGACUUCAAGUGAGCGCUUAUGUCUGUAGUGUGUGAUAAAAAAAAGUUGAUCAACGAAGGAUUUGCAGCGAACCACUCGCGGAAUUGGAUUGCUGCCGGGUUGGACGAAAACAGGGAGCGCCCACACAGAUCUCCAACAAAACGGAGGGCACACUCACGCACAAGCGCCUACGUGUUAUCCUACGCACGAACACGCUCCUUGGCUCCUGCCAACCCCGAUCGUUCUUUAUCCAGUUGCGGUGCAGUGGUCAUCUAAAAGUAUCCAGUUUUUAUAUGCGGACCGUCUGUGCUCUGCCGCGUCGCCGGCCAUCACGCCCGCCCUACGCUCGUCUGAAACCCACGGUCUCCGCACGCCGGUUUCGCGGUUUCUUGCAGCCUAUAAAUCCGGCCGGAGCGCCCAGCUCUGCCCCAUCCCAUCUCACACACCACUACUCAUCUUGCCUCACACACUUCACUACUCUGCUCGCAAGUUCACUUCCUUGGGUUCUCGUACCACCAACCUCCCUCGCCAAGAUGUGGACGGUGACCCGCGCCUACCUCGACCAGAGGCUCGCCGCCGCCAAGCGCUGCUCCAGAGGUACUAACCAAAACGAUAUGAUGCAUGGCCCGCCGGUUCACCAUGCCGGCAAUGCUCUUGCCACUCUGUUCUACUCCAGUACAUUGCAGCUUUGUAUACUGUUUGUGCUAAAACUUGGUUGUCAUUAACAUCCCGGUGUUGAUCCGAAACUGCAGAGGCCGCCAUGGCCGGAGCCAAGGCCGCGGCCGUCGCCACCGUCGCUGCCGCAGUCCCCACAGUAAGUAGCCAUUCAGUUCUCCGACGAAAUCCUUCCACGGUUCAUAGAAUGUCUCAUGAAUGCUUUACCUCUAACUUUAGCUGGCGAGCGUGAGGAUGCUGCCGUGGGCGAGGGCGCACCUGAACCCGACCGGGCAGGCCCUCAUCAUCUCCACCGUCGCCGGGAUGGCCUACUUCAUCGUCGCCGACAAGACCAUCCUCUCCAUGGCCAGGAAGCACUCCUUCGACGACGCGCCGGACCACCUCAAGAACACAUCCUUCCACUAAUAAUUCGACUAUAAUAGAUCCAUUAGUAGUGGGUAAUAAUCUGCACGCCGGCCUGGAAGUGUCUGCUGAAAGAUAGUACUGUAAUGUUCAGGCAGCACUUAUCUGAGAUCAGGCGAGGCUUGCAGACAGCCAGUGGCGUAGUACUGCGCUUCUCUGCGCGCAAGAACUUAUCUGAUGAAGUGAUCAUGUAUCCACCCAUUAAUCUUGAAUUAAUAGUAAUAACUUGCGUUUGUACAACUCAGGCUCACCUGCCAUCACCCAUCUUACAUUUAAUUGAUCAUCGUUUGAAAUGGGGCACUGGCAGAGCAUGCACAAGACCGAAACAACACUGCAUACUUCGAUCCCCUACUCCUCCCCUGUUCUGUGAUGGACAUCAGGAUGGCCGGAGGCAGGUGGCUCUGUAGGGUGGCCGGAGUAAUCUUUCACUUCAAAUGUUGUGUACUAGUACUUUCUUGAACAUUUGCAACGAUAAAUCUGACUUUAAAUCACCUCAUUUUAUGUAAUAACAUACAUUUGGUACUCCCUCUGUAAAGAAAUAUAAGAGCGUUUCUUAUAUUCCUUUCCAGAGGUAGCAUUUUCUAUGACUUUUUUAGUUGAAAAAUAAAUAAUAAAAAUAAAAUUGUCAAAAAGUCAACUUUGGCAGUGUCCUAAUAUUGGUACAUGAACUUGUCAUGGAAAUCUCACACGAUUUCUAGAAAGGUAGAAAAACCACUUGAUUAGAAAUUGCCCCUUUUGGCACGGUGUCCGAAUAUUGGUACAUGCUUACUAGUUUUAAACUUUGGGCAAAUUUUGUUAAUAUAGGCCAAAAUGAGUCCAUAAAUAUAGUUUUAGAAGUUCAUAUAAUUGCAGAGCACAAGCAUUCGACCAUUUGAACUACAUUGUUAACCAAAAGGAAACACAACACAUCAACUCCAGCGUAUUAAGAUCCCCAUAAAUUACCACAACUACAAAUUCCUGCAUUUUCCCCUUGUACUUGUGUUCUCGGAGAAUGUAGAAGAAUAAAACAAUGAAAGUGGCACCGUCUUUCUUCUCUUCCUGCAAUUGUGUUCCCAAACUUGCUCAUCUGCAUUUCACUAUGAUGAAGCAGGUCCAGGUCUCUCGCUUGGCAGCAUAGUAGGGUAGGUGUGUGACUCAGUGUUAACCUUGGCCUGGACAUAAAAUUAUGAUAUUAUAGGGUUGGUACUGCAAGGGUUGCUACCAAUCAUUGGAAUUCAGCAGAAUUAGAUGACCGUACAAAUUUGUUCACCCAUCAAUGGCCAACACUGAGAUGGCAAUUUUUUUUGGCAUACACGUACAUGAUAGAGAUAAUGAGGAGAGGGGGGAAUCUAGUUUGCCUGCUGAUGCUAACAGAGGUUCAUUCGAAGAUGUUGAUGGACAGUUGAUGGAAGAUGCUGCAGAUGAUGUUGAUGAUGCACAUGAUGAUGAGAUGAUGAAUGUUUAUGACAAAGAAAACCCUGUUAUUGAAGCGGGGAAGUUGUGGCCAAACAUGGAUGAGUUCAGGAUGUGUUUCAGGACUUAUGCGGUCAAGUAUGAGUUUGAUGCUAAGACUAAGUGGGCUGAUAGAAAGAAGUUUUAUGCGAUGUGCAGAGGAUUUGAUGAAAAUGUCAAGCCUUGCAAGUGGUACAUAUCUGCUAGAUGCCAACCUGAUGGAAGUACCAUCAGGGUUAAUCAAAUUCCACAUCAAUAUACUUGUAUUACAAGAUCACAGAGAGUACCAACCAUGACAUCACACAUUUGGGUUGCAGAAAAGAUCACUCCUGUUUUAGGAAAGAAACCAAACACUACUAUAAAGCAACUUUUAGUACACUUAGAAAUCAGUACCUCAUUAAGCUGAAAUAUACCACCGUGUGGAAGGCAAAAUAAAGGGCAAUGAAGCAAUAAUAUGGUGAUUAUGGCCGCCUCAACGGUGUGUCGCCACAUCGGUUGGAAGGUCAAUCGAGUCUUCUCGUCGCUGCUGUUGAUGUGGCGAAGUAGUGGGUCCUGAAGGAAAUAUGCCCUAGAGGCAAUAAUAAAGUUAUUAUUUAUUUCCUUAUAUCAUGAUAAAUGUUUAUUAUUCAUGCUAGAAUUGUAUUAACCGGAAACAUAAUACAUGUGUGAAUACAUAGACAAACAGAGUGUCACUAGUAUGCCUCUACUUGACUAGCUCGUUAAUCAAAGAUGGUUAUGUUUCCUAGCCAUAGACAUGAGUUGUCAUUUGAUUAACGGGAUCACCUCAUUAAGAGAAUGACGUGAUUGACUUGACCCAUUCCGUUAGCUUAGCACCCGAUCGUUUAGUAUGUUGCUAUUGCUUUCUUCAUAACUUAUACAUGUUCCUAUGACUAUGAGAUUAUGCAACUCCCGUUUACCGGAGGAACACUUUGUGUGCUACCAAACGUCACAACGUAAAUGGGUGAUUAUAAAGGUGCUCUACAGGUGUCUCCAAAGGUACUUGUUGGGUUGGCGUAUUUCGAGAUUAGGAUUUGUCACUCCAAUUGUCGGAGAGGUAUCUCUGGGCCCACUCGGUAAUGCACAUCACUAUAAGCCUUGCAAGCAUUGUGACUAAUGAGUUAGUUGCGGGAUGAUGUAUUACAGAACGAGUAAAGAGACUUGCCGGUAACGAGAUUGAACUAGGUAUCGAGAUACCGACGAUCAAAUCUCGGGCAAGUAACAUACCGGUGACAAAGGGAACAACGUAUGUUGUUAUGCGGUCUGACCGAUAAAGAUCUUCGUAGAAUAUGUGGGAGCCAAUAUGGGCAUCCAGGUCCCGCUAUUGGUUAUUGACCGGAGACGUGUCUCGGUCAUGUCUACAUAGUUCUCGAACCCGUAGGGUCCGCACGCUUAACGUUACGAUGACAGUUUUAUUGAGUUUUGAUGUACCGAAGGAGUUCGGAGUCCCGGAUGAGAUCGGGGAUAUGACGAGAAGUCUCGAAAUGGUCGAGACGUAAAAAUUGAUAUAUUGGACGACUAUAUUCGGACUUCGGAAAGGUUCCGAGUGAUUCGGAUAUUUUUCGGAGUACCGGAGAGUUACGGGAAUUCGUAUUGGGCCUUAAUGGGCCAUACGGGAAAGGAGAGAAAGGCCUCGAAAGGUGGCCGCACCCCUCCCCAUAGUCUGGUCCGAAUUGGACUAGGGAGGGGGGGCGCACCCUUCCUUCUUUCUCCUUCCCCCUUCCCUUCUCCUACUCCCACAAGGAAAGGACGAGUCCUACUCCCGGUGGGAGUAGGACUCCCCCCUAUGGCGCGCCUCUCCCCUUGGCCGGCUGCCUCCCCCUUACUCCUUUAUAUACGGGGGCAGGGGGCACCCCAGAGACACAACAAUUGAUCCUUGAGAUCUCUUAGCCGUGUGCGGUGCCCCCCUCCACCAUAUUACACCUCGAUAAUACCGUUGCGGAGCUUAGGCGAAGCCCUGCGUCGGUGGAACAUCAUCAUCGUCACCACGCCGUCGUGCUGACGAAACUCUCCCUCAACACUCGGCUGGAUCGGAGUUCGAGGGACGUCAUCGAGCUGAACAUGUGUAGAACUCGGAGGUGCCGUGCGUUCGGUACUUGAUCGGUCGGAUCGUGAAGACGUACGACUACAUCAACCGCGUUGUGAUAACGCUUCCGCUUUCGGUCUACGAGGGUACGUGGACAACACUCUCCCCUCUCGUUGCUAUGCAUCACCAUGAUCUUGCGUGUGCGUAGGAAUUUUUUUGAAAUUACUACGUUUCCCAACAGGUCCCAGAUGGAAUGAGAUGGUGCGUGGGGCAUACAUCUAAUUCCUUUGCAAUCGCUAUUGGCGUGGACUAAAAUAUGGAAGUUUGAGUGACAAGACUUGAAUAUGCAACUUUGGCAGUGGCACAGACCGAUUUUUCCAUAAAUAUAAUUAAAAAAAAUCCCUGGUGGGUUUGAUGAUAUUGAUUGGAAAUGUAUAUGUUAAUAUUUCUUUCCUAUAAACUUGAUUAAAGUGUAGCCAGACGAAACUAAUAUACACUCUAUUUUGAAAUGUAGGGCGUAUGCCAUAUCUUUAAGAUAUCAUGACCAUGGCUAUUGAUGAUUUCUCUAUACUACUCAUGACAUUUAAUAGGAUUUAUUGGCAUUUAUUUGGAUAAGGAUAACCUUUUGUUGUGGGUCGGAUAAGGAUAAGCUUGAUGCAAAAGAAACUGAAACAUGUUGUUUAAUGACAUUAAUUGGAUAAGGACAACCUUAAUGCAACCACAUCUAUAUAAGACGACUGAACGGUACCAGUCAUGACCACAGAAAACAUAUCGAUUGACAGACUAUUGCAUAACUACAUAUUCUCAGUUGUUCUGUGUUCUUAGGCAAUGGCGAAAAAUAGCAUCUUCCAAGUGAUCAUUGUUUUUCUCAUGGUGCAAGUCUGCUUGCUCAUGAUGAUGGCAGCACCGGCAGCACAUGCAGCUGCUAGACCAGUGGGGUACAAUCCAGUGUGCUGCCCUAGAAACAUUUACUGUUGCGGGUUCGGUGGCGCAUUGGCCAAUUCACCCGUGCCAUCCAUUGAGCCUUGAAGUGUGGUUUUAUUCUCCUCGAGGUAGUAAGCUCGGCAUAUAAAUAAUAUAUGUAGUUUUAUUGUUUCAUGUGUUACCUAUUCCCGAAUAUUUGUGAUGCUAUUUUCAAGAAGAUAUUGUACUAGCUACUUACCUAAUAAAAUGGGAGGAGAUUAUUAUAUAUAUUGUUUUAUGUUUACGUCAGUCCAUUUGAAAACAAGAUUAUUUGGCCGCACUGAUUUAUGGCAAAAAAACGAGUGGUGAGGUGCGUGCCUUUGGGAAUUUCUGUUUUAUUGUUCCGUUGGUCCUCCAUUUGUCGAGAUUGUCUGGGUCGUGGCAGCAUGCUUUAUUUUUCACAAAGGUCAUAACUUUUUAUAGCAUUUAUUGAGUGAUGGAGUACAUCACCAAUUAGUAGAAACCAAUUACUAUUGGCGAUGCUUUUUUUUAAUCAAGGGAUCCACACUCUCUUCCUUUCUUGCAAGAAGGCCGAUGCCAUGUAUUAAAAUUGUCCAACCCUUACAACACCAUCCUUACAAAAGAAUUAACAUAGAAAACAUAUCCUGGGUUAUAUCAAGGGCGUCUUCCUUCCGGACUUGUACGGCGUGAGCAAAACUCGAUGUGGCCUUUGGAUUUCCAGAACAACCUUAGAGCCAGGGUAAAUCAUUCUCUACAUUUUUCAAGUGAGUGCUCAAUUCCUCAAAAAAUAGUCAAAUAAAUAGUAUACGAAUAUAACUUUUUAUUCUUUGAUGGAGCACGAAGGGAUUGUUUGCCGUGGAUCCUAUAUGCGCAAUCUAUCUAUUAAUCUAUUACUAUACUAAUUAGAGACUCCUUCGAAAUUCCCACAAUUAAUCAGAAAAUACGGACUGCUCAUCUGGUGGGACCGAAUUAUUACUGUGUAGAUUUUUUUAAAUUUUCUCACAUUAAUAAAGAUUAAACAAUAAUUAUAAGCCCCCCAUCUGGUGGGACUAAGUUAUUACCACAUAGAUUAACUCAUAUAGUCCUUGGCCAGAAUUUUGCUCCAUUCUCCUAAAUCCAAAUAAUAAUCACUCAAACUCUGUUGUAAAAAUAGAACACUAAAAAAUUACGAUUCAUUCUCUAGUCUCAACUAUUCAAAGGAAAAAAAACUCCCACCUCAAUAUAGGCACUACACAGUCUCUUCCUCUCCCCAUUAAAAAGAUCAUCAACCGGAAGCAAUCUCCAUAAAUUCCAUGGUCACGCAUAGCAUUGUCCAUUGGAUCUGCGAUCGAUCGUCUUGGUCAUUGGCGGAGGCCUUCCUCAAUGGUGUGGCCGAACUCGAUCUGCGGGUGAGGUCAAGAUAACGCUUUGGUCCUAGGGGUUUGGUAUAGGGUCUUACGUAAGGAAAAUGGAAGAAAAAUGAAGUGAAGGCAGAGAACCCAUACACAAAGAGAAGCGAAGUCUGUGCCCCUAGCUACUCAGUAUGCGUACGCGGUUUUCGACACUAGAUGCUGCUUGUUAUUACCAACCAUUUGUAGGCGGUUUGAUUGUUCUGACUAAACCCGGGCAAACGUCAGGCUGGGCUGGGCUUGUAAAAGCCCGGCCUUCAUUCUCAAGCCCGAGCCCGACCCGAAGUCCAAAAACUCUCUGUUUUCAAGCCUGAGCCCGGCCCAAAAUCAAGCCCGAAAGCUCGGCUUGAACGUUGUUUUUAGUGUACGCACGUGCAAGCCUGACCCAAAGCCCGAAAGCCCGUCUCGAAAUACAGAUAAAGAGAAGCCCGAGCCCGGCCCAAACUAUCUUUCGGGCUGCAAAACAAGGCCCGAGCCCAGCCCGAAUGUGAAGCCCGGCCGGGCCGGCCUGUCGAUGCUCGGGUUUAGUUCUAACCACCACCAGCGUCGGCCUUUGCAUCAAGCGAUGCACACAGUCAUUUAUUAAAAAGUAUAGGGUCUCAAAGUAUGAGUAACAUCUCAAGUUGCCAAAAAGGAACAAGAAAUCAAACAAAUAGCCACAACUGACAAAAUAGGAAUGUGGCUAAACACCUAUCUUAUUAAUGGACCAGCAUCUAAACAGGUUGUACUUAGCCCGUGCUACCGUCUCCCAUUGAUUGCACCCAACAGCCAUAAGCCCCCUCUCUACCGCAUGGUGUAGUAAUGACCACUUAGGGAUCCAGCUAGUCGCCCUGAUAGAUAACAUACAAAAAGCUUGUGAUAUUUGUCCUGUUAAAAACACAAUCAUUCCGAUAGUUCCAAAUAGGACAAACUAAAUGCACAAACUAAUUCGUGACGUAGUAUUGGGCUCAACCCCACCUAGCCAGUUACCAAACAAAUUGGAGAUAAUAUUAAGAGGAGGUAUGUUCAACGACACGUGUAUUGUCCGUCACGAUAAGUUGGAAAUGUGGCAAGUGAGAGACAAAUGUUGACUCGUUUCAUCAUGAUCGCAAAACUACACCAUUUACUCCCCUCCCACCUACUCCCUCCGUUCCUAAAUAUUUGUCUUUCUAGAUAUUUCAACAAAUGACUACAUACGGAGCAAAAUAAAUGAAUCUACACUCUAAAAUAUGUCUACAUACAUCCGUAUGUGAUAGUCUGUUUGAAAUGUCUAAAAAGACAAAUAUUUAGGAACGAAGGGAGUACGUUGUAGGCCAACUCUAACCCAUCCACUACAAAAUAGAGGAGGAUCCGUCUGAGCAAAGCUUGGUGGAGUAUAUUUACUUCACUAAGUUUUGGCCGGACAUAGUCGACCCCCUAAAUAUAACCGAGUACAAUUUAUAAUUGGCUUAUACAAUUGGUUGAGCACUUGGUGUGCGUCUGCUUGGGGACUCCGGCAUGGCGAGCACCCCUGCGGCGAGGAACACGGGUUAAACACGUAGCUGAUCAGGAUGCAGACGUUGACAGAUAGCUGCCACCGAGAUGGCAAGCUAGACAUUGCCAAUUGCAGCAUGUUGGUUCCGCUGGCAAGCUUGCUACUCACAUGAUCCUGCUCGGCCUGCACCGUGCCUCGUCCCCCAUCGCGUGCUACAGCUCCUGCUGCUUCCCCUCUGACGGAGGACUGCACCCCAUCACUGUGCUCGACCAUGUAGUGCCUGAAGGGCCUGACUCCUCCGUUGGACAGGCCUAAGGAAAGCUGAAGCUGGAUGGCGUCGUCGACUGCCUGCGAGAUGGGCGCCGGAGUGAGUGUGGUGUUGCGUGGCACCAUGGCAGCAUGAGCUGCAGCUUGAGGUCGUGCCGAACGCUCAUGCCACAGGCGCUCGUGAUGCUGCAGGUCGAGGUCGCCUUCGACUAUGGCACAUGCGCCGAUGCGACGGACGUGUCCCCGUCCGAGCCCCGCAAGGAGAGGUCGCUGUCACUGUCGAACGCCACCCACGAUGAUUCUGACGACCACGGCUAGGAGGAGGGACGGGACGCGGCACUGGGCCGCGACCCGGGGAUAAGCCAGUGGUGGCGGCGACAUCGCCGGGGGCGGGGGUGACUGAGGCUGCGGGUGGUCACCAGGUGGCCACAGAGUGGGGACAGGCGGUCUUAGGGAGAGGCGACAGGUUUUACUCGGCCGCCUUCAGGAGUAAUUUUAGUGGUUGGAUAGGCGGACGAGUAAAAUUUAGCCUCACAUAUACUAUAAGUUUUAGUACUUCGGCUAGGUGCGACAUAAACGAGGAAAACCGAAUUUAUCCUUCCUUAGACUGGCCAUAAUGGGUAGUAACAUAUACAUGUUACUAGUCUAUGUUACCAUCUUUAUAAUGGGGAGUAACAUAUGUGUGGUAACAUGCAACACUUCAUUUAUUAGGCUAUAAACUCAUUUUGCCUUGAUAUGUGUGAUGUUACUCAUACUACUAGUAACUAGCUAUGUUACCACUUUACUCAAUUUCUUCAUUUAUUGUUUACCACAUCAUCUAUUUUAUCUAGAUAUGUGUGAUGUUACUAUCUAUGUUACUCCCACUAUGGGUAGUCUUAUAGUCCGAUAGGGAAUCUUGAUUUUAAAGGGGCCUUUGAUUUUUAAACUUGAUUUCAGCACGUCCAAAGACCGGUGUGGGUAUUAGGGACACAACCCCUUUUGAUGGCCGCUUCUAAUGCCCUUUUUCUACUAGUGAAUAUUGGUUUUGUGCAUCUAUUUGUGACGAUUGCUUUGCUCAUGGUGUCCUUCGAUGAAGUCGGGGUCGCCGGUCGCCUGCGUGCAGCUAUGAAGUUAUUCGUGCAAUAUUUUUUCUUAAUUAAUGAAAAUAACAAGUCUUUUACUACCCCACUGUACAAAAAAUAUAAAAAUGUUUAGAUCAGUACUUUAGUUAUGUAAACACGCACAUAUUUCUUUUACGGAGACCGUUUAACAAAUCAACUAGCAUUAUGUCGAGGAACGAUGCCUGCCAAACAGGGGUUUUGCACCGAGCCGCCGGUGGAAUUGGCCUGAUCGAUUGCCGACGCGGCUAGCCGAGCUAGCUAGAUAGGCCAAAAACAGGGAGCGCCCACACAGACAGAAAUGGAACGCACGCUAACUGACACUGCACUCACGCAUAUGCUCCUACCUAUUCCCUCCGUUCGGAAUUACUUGUCGUAAAAAUGGAUGUAUCUAGACUUAUUUUAGUUCAUCCCGCCGGAGCACCCUGCUCUGCCCAUCUCAUCUCAUCUCACUCACACUGCUUACUUGACUUCACUACCUAGCUCACUUCCUCCGGUUCUCGUGCCACCAAGCUUUCUUCCACGGCAACGGCCACGGCCACGAAGAUGUCUACGGUGACCCGUGCCCACCUCGACCAGAGGCUCGCCGCCGCCAAGCGCUGCUCCAGAGGUACUAACCAAAACGGUGGCAGGCCAGCAAUGCCCGUGUCGUUCUGCUGUUAAACAUUGCAGCCUAUGCGCUGAAACUUGAUCGCCAUUGACAUGCCUGUGUUGCUUCGGAACUGCAGAGGCUGCCAUGGCAGGAGCCAAGGCCGCGGCCGUCGCCACCGUCGCAGCCGCAGUCCCCACAGUAAGUAGCCAGUUAGCCAUUCAGUUAUUCGGCCAAAUCCUUGCACGGUUCAUAGCAUGUCUCAUGCAUGCGUUACCUGUAACUUGAGCUGGCGAGCGCGAAGAUGCGAAGAUGCUGCCGUGGGCCAAGGCACACCUGAACCCAACCGGGCAGGCCCUCAUCAUCUCCACCGUCGCCGACAAGACCAUCCUCUCCAUGGCCAGGAAGCACUCCUUCGAGGACGCGCCGGACCACCUCAAGAACACCUCCUUCCACUAAUUACACAGUAGAUCCAUUAAUAGUGCGCAACAGGCUGCACGUCGGCCCGUACGGUCGUACGUGUUUGCUGAAUGAUACAGUAGUAUAAUGUUCAGCGAGAGAGGCGAGGCGAUGCAGAUCAGGCGUCGCGCUUCUAUCCGUGCAAGCACUUAUCUGACGAAUUUACCAUGUAAUCUAGCCAGUACUCUUGAAUAAAUGAAUACUUGUAUUUGUACAACUCUGAUCCAUCUGCCAUCACUCAUCUUACAUGUGGCAGAGCAUAAAAAAGAAAUCUCCACCGCCGGCCCCUAAAACGUACACAAUAUCCGUUUGCGAGCCGGUCAUCCAACGCUAAUCCAACAAGCGUCCAGACACAUUUCAAAUAGACCUUAAACAAUCUAGAUAAAAUUCAUACAAACCGAACGAUUUUCAUUCAAACCGGGACAAGUUCAUUGCAUUUUAGAUAUAUUUCAACUAAACAAAAGUGGGCGACACUUUUUAACCCAGUCUAAAUAUUCGUCGGUCGUGGAGGCCUUCAUGUUCUGCAUCAUGUCUUUACCAUGUCUGGCAAGUUCAGUGGUCGCAAGCUUUUGUGAAGUGAAGUUGCCGGUGAGGAAGAAUCUGACUUGGGACAUGACUCACAUGGGACACAGGACUUGCCCACAUCCGUGUCCCACGUCCUACUCUUCCCGGCUAGAGUCUGUGAUGUGGACGUUGCCGGACAUGGAUGGAUCGGCCUCAUGGCCAAUGCGGUUGGGCACGAAAUGUGAUAGCGCCGCGAUCAAUGCGGAACUGGCGACGUCCGUGAUGUUUGUGCCCACUCUUCAUCCACCUUCACCUGCAAGACGCACUGCCGCCAUCGCUCGCGAGGGAUGUCGUGAACUGCGGCCAACGACCAUAAGGCUGGUCCAUCCGGCAUUUCCGACACGAAGGUUGUCUCAUCUCCAACGACAAGUAGAACUAGGAUAGUUUGAUCUAUGUUUGAUAUAGUACGUGGUUUAAUUUUACGUUCCAUGAUGUAGUAUCAAAAAAGUAGAGGGUGAGAUUUGGGGUUUGUGGUUGCAGCGAGAGAUAAAUGAAGGGUGACCGGGCUCGGUCUACGGAUGCGUCCGGAAACAUCUGCGAACAUGUGGGGUCACUUUUGAAAUAUGCAGCUGUAGAUGUUGUAACAUUACCAAGAUUUCAAGGAAUUGAAAAUCGGGAUGAUCGGUUUCCUACCUCUUCAUCUUUUUUUAUCGAUAAUUGUAGACGCACGGGGUUUUACGGCCCGUGACAGGCUCUUUNNNNNNNNNNNNNNNNNNNNNNNNNNNNNNNNNNNNNNNNNNNNNNNNNNNNNNNNNNNNNNNNNNNNNNNNNNNNNNNNNNNNNNNNNNNNNNNNNNNNNNNNNNNNNNNNNNNNNNNNNNNNNNNNNNNNNNNNNNNNNNNNNNNNNNNNNNNNNNNNNNNNNNNNNNNNNNNNNNNNNNNNNNNNNNNNNNNNNNNNNNNNNNNNNNNNNNNNNNNNNNNNNNNNNNNNNAGUGGGGGUGGGGCCCUGACCUUAAUCUCCAUCCAAACAGAAGAUCCCAACUAGGACACUCCGUGAAUCCCUGUAAAACAUAGCCCGUGUGUGUAGCAUUGCUCUUUUUUUAUAGGAAAGGCUGAAAUAAAUCCAGGAUCAAGUCUAGAAUUUGAAUCUUGGUGGGCUGGGAUACCACCGUCCUUCUAACCAUCGAACCACAGGUUCGUUCGCUUCUGCCUCUUCAUCUUAACGAUACACACAUUCAUACUUAUAUUUAUUUAUUAUAAACAAUUGUGAGUAGGAGUAAUAAAACUCAGUACAAAUCAAUGAGUGGAGGGAGAAAAAAAUGCCACAAUCGGUGUAGGCAAACAUGCCUACACAAAAAGCAUAAUAUUGGAUCAUCUAUCCUACGUGAAAUGUUAUGUUAUUUUUAAACAGAGGUAAAAGAUUUUCCUCAUCUAUUAAGUAACAAAAUAAUGACAGGAGGGACGUUUUGCCUUUUUUUUAUGUGUGAAGAUUGAUGUUGGUUAUGUGCAUCUUAACUAUGCAGAGGCCAGAUAUAUGUUUAUUUUGACUGUAUUCAGUUGAUGCUUCAUUUUAUUAAAUAAUAAAAUCCAUUCUUAAUGAAAAAAGCAUGGUGGCGGGGCUGACCCCGCCAAACAAAGGAUCAGGCGCUCGCGGAAUUGGAUCGCCGACGGGUUGGCGGUAAACUGGGAGCGCCCACACCACACACAUCGCCAACAACCUGAAGGGCACGCUGACAGAUACUGCUCUCACGCACAUGCUCCUACCUACGUGUUAUCCUACCUAGUACGUGUUAUCCUACGCAGGAACACGCUCCCCGCCAACCCGAUGGAUCGAUCCAUGCCUCGUCUUAUCCAGAAAACAGAGUCCGCCACCUGUGCUCUGCCGCACCUGCACCGCCCACCGGUACCAUUACCGAAACCACGGUCUUGCCUGCUUCCCACCGUAUCAGGUCGUCUUCCUGCCCGGCCGCACGCCGGUUGGGCGGUUUCCUGCAACCUAUAAAUUCCGCCGGAGCACCUCGCUCUGCCCAUCUCAUUCUCAUAUCACUUCACUGCUACUACUAAUUCACUUCCUUCGGAUCCCGCUCGUGCCACCAAGCUCUGCUCCCGCUAAGAUGUCGACGGUGACCCGUGCCAACCUCGACCAGAGGCUCGCCGCCGCCAACCGCUGCUCCAGAGGUAACCACCGACGACCGGUUCCGGCCACAGCCCAGCACUGCUCUGCUCCUAUAUCCCAACCAUCCAUUGCAGCUUAUGUGUCUGCUGAAACUUGAUCUUGAUUAACAUUCCUGCGUUGGUCUGAAACUGCAGAGGCUGCCAUGGCGGGAGCCAAGGCCGCGGCCGUCGCCACCGUCGCUGCCGCAGUACCCACAGUAAGUAGCCAGCUAGCCAUUCAGUUCCAGAGUUCAUAGAACACAUCUCAUGAAUCAACGCGUUACCUGUACUGUAAUUUCAGCUGGCGAGCGUGAGGAUGCUGCCGUGGGCGAGGGCGCACCUCAACCCCACCGGGCAGGCGCUCAUCAUCUCCACGGUCGCCGGGAUGGCCUACUUCAUCGUCGCCGACAAGACCAUCCUCUCCAUGGCCAGGAGGCACUCCUUCGACGACGCGCCAGAGCACCUCAAGAACACCUCCUUCCACUAAUUAGACUAUAAUAGUAGACACAUAUAAUGUUCUAUAAUGGUACUAUAAUGUUCAGCGAGAGGGGCGGUCAGGCGAGGUGAUGGUAUAAUUAUCUGAUGAUGUAUGUAUGUAAUAAUGUGGCCAUGUUCUUUCCAGGGAUCUUGUCAUCUUUCCAGGGAUCGUGAAUUAAUAACCACCAGUUUUUGUACAACUUUAGUUCAAGUGCACUCACUCAUCUCACUUAUUUCUUGUUUGUGAUUGCCAUUUGAUAUGCGUCAAGACCGAGUAACACUAGUACUAGUAGUAGACUACUACUUCAUUCAUUGGAUCCCCUACUACUCUCCUCUCUUCUAUCCCGAAAUGCACGUGGGGAUCAUGCCACCUGACCUCACACUAUAAAUCUUUUGAGGGAGAUGAUUGGUUUAUGCCGGCGGAUCUCAUGCGAGGCGUCCCUCACCUCUUUCUUGUGACACGUGUCUUGGGUCCAUCUAGUACUAUUUCUAGCGGUUCCGUGCGAUCAUGUGCGUGUGGCGGAGAAAGUUCUCUGCAAUAUCAUUUGUGUUGGGAUAUAACUAUUGGGUAUGACCAGAGGGGCCCGGUCAUACCGCUGGCGACUUAAUGAUAAAGAUGGCGGGUUAUGAAGCAAGCCCGUUGAAGGCCUAAGACCCAGAGGCGACUUGAGGCCCAAGAGGAUAAACCGCCAUAUGUGUAACUUGUAUUGUAAGGCAAGUUUAGUUAGUCACCGAGCCGGACACGUUGUGUAUGAGCCGGCCGGGACUCUGUAAGCCGCCGGGCAUCAACCUGUGCAUAUAAAGGGGUGACCCGGCGGCGGGUGAAGGCAAGAAACCAGAGAUCGAGAACUAGGUCAAGCGUAUUUGCUCCCUGGUAAUCGAAACCCAAGCAAUACAACCCCAAACUGGAGUAAGCCUUUACCUCGUUGCGAGGGGCCGAACCAGUAUAAACUCUCUGUGUCCUUUGUCCCGAUUAACCCCUUCAAGCUAAACUAACUGCGAUGGCUCCACACCUAAGUCCUUUCACUAGGGCAUCUGCCGUGUUAAGUCGACGACAAUUUGUGUUGCAAACUUUCUUCCGCAAUAACUCUCAUGUUGCAAAAAAAGUGAAAACAGAAAGAAAAAAAAUCUGCAACAUUACCGGCGGAAGUUGCCCAUGUCCGACCAUGCCGCCGCACGCCGACAAGUUUCUACAACAACAACAAAGUUACAAAACGGCGACCACAACGAGGGCGGUGCUGCUGCGACAACAUCUUUCAUUGCGAAAAAGUUCUGCAACAACAUCCAUGUUGCAGAAGUCCUUUUCGCAACAUUAUCUAUGUUGCAAAAAAGUGAAGAGAAAAAAACACACAACAUAAGCUCCGUUGCAAAUGGUUUUGAAACACUCCAUUUGUUGCAAUGAAUUGUGCCAGAUCUACGGUUGCGGAGGCGGAAAGAUCCGCCGACCGACGCGCAGCACGGUCCAUCUUUUGAUACGGUUUAUAGGAUGCCCUGGUAAAUAAGGAUAGAAAAUUUAGCAGUUCUGUAACAAGCUUUCCAUGGAUAGCCCCACCCUCCCACGCCGCCCCCCGCAAGGCGACGGGGAGGAACCUACUGCGCCGCCGCCAACUACCUUCUCCGCCCCUCCUCCCUCCCUCGCUGCCGCCAGAGGGCGCAGCCGGCCGAAGCCGCCGGCAAGGCCUCGUCGUUCCCCCUUCCAGCGGCCUUGGUGUCGGCCGACGCGGCUGGAUCGGGGUGCCUCGCUGUCCCAGGGCAAGGCUGUGUUGCGGCGCAGCUGCCUUGUGAUGGCGCUGCGCGCGGUGGUGGCGCGACGGGCUGGGCUUCGUAGGCCGUGCUGGUGCGUGGAGCGGCGGGGACGGCGAGCGGCUGGUGCGGGUGUUCAUGGCGGCGGGCGGAUCUAGCGUGGCGGCGGUCGCGGCGAGGCAAGGCGUCAGUGGCGGGGUCCGGUGUGGCCUGGGCUAGCUCCUGGCUUGGCGCAGUGGUCCCUGCCCUAGCUUCGGGCUGGUGGGGGUGGUGGCGCAGUGGUGGUGGCAGGCGGGGCAUGUUGGUCGAGUCCGCGUCGGGACCUUCCUGGUAUGGCGCUCUGACGUUGGCGGACGACGCGAGUAGGCAUCUCCGGUGAGCUUCCUUGGUUGCGGUUGCAGGUCAAUUUGGUCUCACUGUCGGCGAGCGCGCGGUUGCCGAUGGCCUCGCAAAGAUGUGUGUUGUUGGGGAACGUAGUAAUUUCAAAAAAUUUCCUACGCAAACGCAAGAUCAUGGUGAUGCAUAGCAACGAGAGGGGAGAGUGUCAUCCACUUACCCUCGUAGACCGUUAAGCGGAAGCGUUAUGACAACGUGGUUGAUGUAGUCGUACGUCUUUACGAUCGACCGAUCCUCAGUACCGAACGUACGGCACCUCCGCAUUCAGCACGCGUUCUGCUCGGUGACGUCAUGCGAACUCACGAUCCAGUAGAGCUCGAAGGAGAGUUUCGUCAGCACGACGGCGUGGUGACGAUGUUGAUGAAGCUACCGUCGCCUGGAUUAUGGUGGAUUAUGGUGGAGGGGGGCACCGCACACAGCUGGGAGAGAUCAAUGAUCAACUUGUGUGUUCUAGGGUGCCCCCUGCCCCCGUAUAUAAAGUAGAAAGGGGGGAGGCCGGCCGGCCCCUAUAGGGCGCGCCAGGAGGAGGAGUCCUCCUCCUAGUAGGAGUAGGACUCCCCUCUUUCCUACUCCUACUAGGAGGGGGAAAGGAAGGGGGAGAAGGAGAAGGAAAGGGGGGCGCGCCCCCCCUUCCUAGUCCAAUUCGGACUAGAGGGGGAGGGGGCGCCGCACACCGCUGGAAGAGAUCAAUGAUCAACUUGUGUGUUCUAGGGUGCCCCUGCCCCCGUAUAUAAAGGAGCAAGGGGGGAGGUCGGCCUUUGACUAUUGACAAGAUUAAUAGUACAUGACAUGCACAAUGCGAAAAUUGUAUCAUUGAAAGCUCCUUUCACACACGAAUUUAACGGUGUGCCUUGUGUAAGUUGCAUGUCAUAUAUUAUUGCUCUAAUAAUUGGUCAAAGUUAGCCUCGAAAAACGCAUUAGGCCCUAUAUAGAUGGAAGGAGGGAGUAUGUGCUUUGUGAAAGUCCAAUUAAGCGUCUUGAUCUAUCUCGAUAGAUCUUGAUGCCCAAUAUGUAAGCAGCUUCACCAAGGUCUUUCAUUGAAAAACUCUUAUUCAAAUAUCCUUUUAUGCUAUCCAGAAAUUCUAUAUCAUUUCCAGUUAGCAAUAUGUCAUCCACAUAUAAUAUUAGAAAUGCUACAGAGCUACCACUCACUUUCUUGUAAAUACAGGCUUCUACAAAAGUCUGUAUAAAACCAUAUGCUUUGAUCACACUAUCAAAACGUUUAUUCCAACUCCGAGAGGCUUGCACCAAUCCAUAAAUGGAUCGCUGGAGCUUGCACACUUUGUUAGCUCCCUUUGGAUCAACAAAACCUUCCGGUUGCAUCAUAUACAACUCUUCUUCUAGAAAUCCAGUCAGAAAUGCAGUUUUGACAUCCAUUUGCCAAAUUUCAUAAUCAUAAAAUGUGGCAAUUGCUAACAUAAUUCGGACAGACUUAAGCAUCGCUACGGGUGAGAAAGUCUCAUCGUAGUCAACUCCUUGAACUUGUCGAAAACCUUUAGCAACAAGUCGAGCUUUGUAGACAGUAAAAUUACCGUCAGCGUCAGUCUUCUUCUUGAAGAUCCAUUUAUUCUCUAUGGCUUGCCGAUCAUCGGGCAAGUCAACCAAAGUCCACACUUUGUUCUCAUACAUGGAUCCCAUCUCAGAUUUCAUGGCCUCAAGCCAUUUUGCGGAAUCUGGGCUCACCAUCGCUUCUUCAUAGUCCGUAGGUUUUGGUCAAGUAACAUGACCUCCAGAAUAGGAUUACCGUACCACUCUGGUGCGGAUCUUACUCUUGUUGACCUACGAGGUUCGGUAGUAACUUGAUCUGAAGUUUCAUGAUCAAUAUCAUUAGCUUCUUCACUGAUUGGUGUAGGUGUCACAAAAACCGGUUUCUGUGAUGAACUACUUUCCAAUAAGGGAGCAGGUACAGUUACCUCAUCAAGUUCUACUUUCCUCCCACUCACUUCUUUCGAGAGAAACUCCUUCUCUAGAAAGGAUCAAUUCUUAGCAACAAAUAUCUUGCCUUCGGAUCUGUGAUAGAAGGUGUACCCAACAGUUUCCUUUGGGUAUCCUAUGAAGACACAUUUCUCCGAUUUGGGUUCGAGCUUAUCAGGUUGAAGCUAUUUCACAUAAGCAUCGCAACCCCAAACUUUAAGAAACGACAACUUUGGUUUCUUGCCAAACCACAGAUCAUAAGGCAUCGUCUCAACGGAUUUUGAUGGUGCCCUAUUUAACGUGAAUGCAGUCGUCUCUAAAGCAUAACCCCAAAACGAUAGCGGAAAAUCAGUAAGAGACAUCACAGAUCGCACCAUAUCCAGUAAAGUACGAUUACGACGUUCGGACACACCAUUUCGCUGUGGUAUUCCGGGUGGCGUGAGUUGCGAAACUAUUCCGCAUUGUUUCAAAUGUAGACCAAACUCGUAACUCAAAUAUUCUCCUCCACGGUCAGAUCGUAGAAACUUUAUUUUCUUGUUACGAUGAUUUUCCACUUCACUCUGAAAUUCUUUGAACUUUUCAAAUGUUUCAGACUUAUGUUUCGUUAAGUAGAUAUACCCAUAUCUGCUCAAAGCAUAUGUGAAGGUGAGAAAAUAACGAUACCCGCCGCGAGCCUCAAUAUUCAUUGGACCACAUACAUCAGUAUGUAUGAUCUCCAACAAAUCAGUUGCUCGCUCCAUUGUUCCGGAGAACGGCGUUUUAGUCAUCUUGCCCAUGAGGCAUGGUUCGCAAGUACCAAGUGAUUCAUAAUCAAGUGAUUCCAAAAGUCCACUAGGAUGGAGUUUCUUCAUGCUCUUUACACCAAUAUGACCUAAACGGCAGUGCCACAAAUAAGUUGCACUAUCAUUAUCAACUCUGCAUCUUUUGGCUUCAAUAUUAUGAAUAUGUGUAUCACUACUAUCGAGAUUUAAUAAAAAUAGACCACUCUUCAAGGGUGCAUGACCAUAAAAGAUAUUACUCAUAUAAAUAGAACAACCAUUAUUCUCUGAUUUAAAUGAAUAACCGUCUCGCAUCAAACAAGAUCCUGAUAUAAUGUUCAUGCUUAACGCUGGCACCAAAUAACAAUUAUUCAGGUCUAAAACUAAUCCCGAAGGUAGAUGUAGAGGUAAUGUGCCGACCGCGAUCACAUCGACUUUGGAACCAUUUCCCACGCGCAUCGUCACCUCGUCCUUAGCCAAUCUUCGCUUAAUCCGUAGUCCCUAUUUCGAGUUGCAAAUAUUAGCAACAUAACCAGUAUCAAAUACCUAGGUGCUACUGCAAGCAUUAGUAAGGUACACAUCAAUAACAUGUAUAUCACAUAUACCUUUGUUCACCUUGCCAUCCUUCUUAUCCGCCAAAUACUUGGGGCAGUUCCGCUCCCAGUGACCAGUCUGUUUGCAGUAGAAGCACUCAGUCUCAGGCUUAGGUCCAGACUUGGGUUUCUUCUCCCGAGCAGCAACUUGUUUUCUGUUCUUCUUGAAGUUGCCCUUCUUCUUCCCUUUACCAUUUUUCUUGAAACUGGUGGUCUUGUUGACCAUCAACACUUGAUGCUCCUUCUUGAUUUCUACCUCCGCAGCCUUUAGCAUUGCGAAGAGCUCGGGAAUUGUCUUAUCCAUCCCUUGCAAAUUAUAGUUCAUCACAAAGCUCUUGUAGCUUGGUGGCAGUGAUUGAAGAAUUCUGUCAAUGACACUAUCAUACAGAAGAUUAACUCCCAGUUGAAUCAAGUGAUUGCAGUACCCAGACAUUCUGAGUAUAUGCUCACUGACAGAACUAUUCUCCUCCAUCUUGCAGCUGUAGAACUUAUUGAGACUUCAUAUCUCUCAAUCCGGGCAUUUGCUUGAAAUAUUAACUUCAACUCCUGGAACAUCUAAUAUGCUCCAUGACGUUCAAAACGUCGUUGAAGUCCCGGUUCUAAGCCGUAAAGCAUGGCACACUAAACUAUCGAGUAGUCAUCAACACGCGACUGCCAGGCAUUCACAAUGUCUGCAGCUGCCGGCGUAGGUGGUACACCUAGCGGUGCUUCCAGGACGUAAUUCUUCUGUGCAGCAAUGAGGAUAAUCCUCAAGUUACGGACCCAGUCCGUGUAAUUUCUACCAUCAUCUUUCAACUUUGCUUUCUCAAGGAACGCAUUAAAAUUCAACGGAACAACAACACGGGCCAUCUAUCUACAACAACAUAGACAAGCAAAAUACUAUCAGGUACUAAGUUCAUGGUAAAUUAAAGUUCAAUUAAUCAUAUUACUUAAGAACUCCCACUUAGAUAGACAUCCCUCGAAUCAUCUAAGUGAUCACGUGAUCCAUCUCAACUAAACCAUGUCCGAUCAUCACGUGAGAUGGAGUAGUUUUCAAUGGUGAACAUCACUAUGUUGAUCAUAUCUACUAUAUGAUUCACGCUCGACCUUUCGGUCUCAGUGUUCCGAGGACAUAUCUACAUAUGCUACGCUCGUCAAGUUUAACCCGGGUAUUCUGUGUGUGCAAAACUGGCUUACACCCGUUGUAUUUGAACGUAGAGCUUAUCACACCCGAUCAUCACGUGGUGUCUCGGUACGCGAACUUUCGCAACGGUGCAUACUCAGGGAGAACACUUAUACCUUGAAAUUUAGUGAGAGAUCAUCUUAUAAUGCUACCAUCAACCAAAGCAGAAUAAGAUGCAUAAAGGAUAAACAUCAUAUGCAAUCAAUAUAAGUGAUAUGAUAUGGCCAUCAUCAUCUUGUGCCUUUGAUCUCCAUCUCCAAAGCACCCGUCAUGACCACCAUCGUCACCGGCGCGACACCUUGAUCUUCAUCGUAGCAUCGUUGUCGUCUCGCCAACUAUUGCUUCUACGACUAUCGCUACCGCUUAGUGAUAAAGUAAAGCAAUUACAGGGCGAUUGCAUUGCAUACAAUAAAGCGACAACCAUAUGGCUCCUGCUAGUUGCCGAUAACUCCGUUACAAAACGUGAUCAUCUCAUACAAUAAAAUAUAGCAUCAUGUCUUGACCAUAUCACAUCACAACAUGCCCUGCAAAAACAAGUUAGACGUCCUCUACUUUGUUGUUGUAAGUUUUACGUGGCUGCUACGGGCUGAGCAAGAACCGUUCUUACCUACGCAUCAAAGCCACAACGAUAGUUCGUCAAGUUAGUGCUGUUUUAACCUUCUCAAGGACCGGGCGUAGCCACACUUGGUUCAACUAAAGUUGGAGAAACUGACACCCGCCAGCCACCUGUGUGCAAAGCACGUCGGUAGAACCAGUCUCGCGUAAGCGUACGCAUAAUGUCGGUCCGGGCCGCUUCAUCCAACAAUACCGCCGAACCAAAGUAUGACAUGCUGGUAAGCAGUAUGACUUAUAUCGCCCACAACUCACUUGUGUUCUACUCGUGCAUAUAACAUCUACGCAUAAACCAGGCUCUGAUGCCACUGUUGGGGAACAUAGUAAUUUCAAAAAAAUUCAUACGCACACGCAAGAUCAUGGUGAUGCAUAGCAACGAGAGGGGAGAGUGUCGUCCACGUACCCUCGUAGACCGUUAAGCGGAAGCGUUAUGACAACGCGGUUGAUGUAGUCGUAAGUCUUUACGAUCGACCGAUCCUCAGUACCGAACGUACGACACCUUCGCGUUCAUCACACGUUCAGCUCGGUGACGUCCCGUGAACUCACGAUCCAGUAGAGCUCGAGGGAGAGUUUCGUCAGCACGACGGCGUGGUGACGAUGGUGAUGAAGCUACCGUCGCAGGGCUUCGCCUAAGCACUGCUACGAUAUGACCGAGGUGGAUUAUGGUGGAGGGGGGCACCGCACACGGCUGGGAGAGAUCUAUGAUCAACUUGUGUGUUCUAGGGUGCCUCGUGCCCCCGUAUAUAAAGGAGUAAGGGGCAGGCCAGCCGGCCCCUGUAGGGCACGCCAGGAGGAGGAGUCCUCCUCCUAGUAGGAGUAGGACUCCCCUCUUUCCUACUCCUACUAGGAGGGGGAAAGGAAGGGGGAGAAGGAGAAGGAAAGGGGGCGCCGCCCCCCUUCCUAGUCCAACCCAGAGGGGGAGGGGGCGCGCGGCCUGCCCUGGCCAGCCCCUCUCUCUCCACUAGUGCCCAACUAGGCCCAUUAACCCCCGGGGGGUUCCGGUAACCCCUCCGGCACUCCGGUAAAAUUCCGAUUUCACACGGAACUCUUCUGAUGUCCAAAUAUAGGCUUCCAAUAUAUCAAUAUUUAUGUCUCGACCAUUUCGAGACUCCCCGUCAUGUCCGUGAUCAUACCCGGGACUCCGAACUAUCUUCGGUACAUCAAAACAUAUAAACUCAUAAUACCGAUCGUCACAGAACUUUAAGCGUGCGUACCCUACAGGUUCGAGAACUAUGUAGACAUGACCGAGACACGUCUUCGGUCAAUAACCAAUAGCGGAACCUGGAUGCUCAUAUUGGUUCCUACAUAUUCUACGAAGAUCUUUAUCGGUCAAACCGCAUAACAACAUACGUUGUUCCCUUUGUCAUCGGUAUGUUACUUGCCCGAGAUUCGAUCGUCGGUAUCUCAAUACCUAGCUCAAUCUCGUUACCGGCAAGUCUCUUUACUCGUUCCGUAAUGCAUCAUCCCGUAACUAACUCAUUAGUCACAUUGCUUGCAAGGCUUAUAGUGAUGUGCAUUACCGAGAGGGCCCGGAGAUACCUCUCCGACAACCGGAGUGACAAAUUCUAAUCUCGAUCUAUGCCAACUCAACAAGUACCAUCGGAGACACCUGUAGAGCACCUUUAUAAUCACCCAUUUACGUUGUGACGUUUGGUAGCACACAAAGUGUUCCUCUGGUAAUCGGGAGUUGCAUAAUCUCAUAGUCAUAGGAACAUGUAUAAGUCAUGAAGAAAGCAAUAGCAGUAAACUAAACGAUCAAGUGCUAAGCUAACGGAAUGGGUCAAGUCAAUCACAUCAUUAUCCUAAUGAUGUGAUCCCGUUAAUCAAAUGACAACUCAUGUCGAUGGCUAGGAAACUCAACAAUCUUUGAUCAACGAGCUAGUCAAGUAGAGGCAUACUAGUGACACUAUGUUUGUCUAUGUAUUCACACAUGUAUUAUGUUUCCGGUUAAUACAAUUCUAGCAUGAAUAAUAAAGAUUUAUCAUGAUAUGAGGAAAUAAAUAAUAACUUUAUUAUUGCCUCUAGGGCUCCUCCUUCCCCCCUUUCGUCGUGUUUGGCAGGGAGCUCAGUUGGAGGGAUGGGUGGCCUCGAUGCGGUCACGUAACCUGUCACCAGCACGGCGUGCCGGUCCGGAUUCGUCCGCUCCGCUUUCUCCCCCUUUCCUCGGCCUGGGGCGGGUUGGCACAGGUUUACCAACGGAGCAUCUGCGGGUGGUUCUGUCAGUCGAGGGACGUCGGUUGGUCCAAAGCUAGGGCCUUUGUGUACGUCUCGGGGUUGUUUGGUUGCAGGGCGGCGGGAAGCAUGACGUUCGUGGGCGAAGCGUGCGUCUUAUGUGCGGGUGGGAAACUAUGGCCGUGUGGGUGGCGUGGUUGCGGGUGGUUGACGGAGAUAAGGUGCACUGGUGGGGUGUGAGCACCGGGGUACACCACUUGUUCAGUCCUUUGACUACCCGACGGUGGUGGUGGCCGUUGCCGUCAUACCGUCCUGAAGGCUCCGUGGCGGCGUUCCCACUCUGGUCAUCUUGCUCCGGGUGAAACCCGAUCUUCGCUAAUCGGGCGGUGGCGGCUAUCCAUGGUCGUAUCCUUCUUGGAGGCACCGCUUUGGAGGCCUGGCUUCAUUGUGGUCCGGUUCACCUCUUUAUUGUCUGUCGGUGGGGUGGUGUAUUGGUGCCUGGCACCUUUGUAUCUUGCUCUGGGUGUGUGCGAUAUGUGCGUUGUUCGGUAUCUCGAAUGUAUUUGGUGAUGGUUGCUUUAUAUAAUAUAAAGUGGGGAAACCCUUUUUCGGUAAACAAGCUUUCCAUACUAGUGGAGCUCCCCUGGUUAGGUUGGAGGUGUUUCUUGAGACCAGAGACACCUUGACACUUUUCUUGGUCGCGAGUUAUAGAAGUGCAUGAUCUACCUAAUAUGUCCAUUUUGCAUCAUGCUUUUAUAUUGAUAUUUAUUGCAUUAUGGGUUGUUAUUACCUAUUUUGGUACAAUACUUAUGCCUUUUUCUCUCUUAUUUUACAAGGUUUACAUGAAGAGGGAGAAUGCCGGCAGCUGGAAUUCUAGGCUGGAAAAGGAGCAAAUAUUAGAGACCUAUUCUGCACAACUCCAAAAGUCCUGGAAAUUUACGCAGAGUCAUUUUGGAAUUAAUAAAAAAUAUUGGGCGAAGUAAGCACCAGAGGGGGGCCACCAGCCAUCCACAAGGGUGGGGGCGCGCCCUAUCCCCCUGGGCGCGCCCCCCUUCCUUCAAACAAACCUUCUGACCAGGAAAAGGCAUACCAAAGAUUUUCGGAAAGACACGUUGAAAUGGAAGCUCUCGAACCUAUUCCGAAGUAAGUGUGGGCCCCCUGGCAGGCCUCCGGUGUCCAUCUUAUGCUAUAUGGUGUGUUUUGACCUAGAAAAAACCAGAAGGAACUUUCGGGACGAAGCGCCGGCGUCUCGAGAUGAAACUUGGGCAAAAUCAAUCUAGGGCUUCGGCGGAGCAAUUCUGCCGGGGAAACUUCCCUCCGGGAGUGGGAAAUCGAAGCCAUCGUCAUCACAAAUGAUCCUCUCAUCGAGAGGGGGUUAAUCUCCAUCCAGAUCUUCACCAGCACCAUCUCCUCUAAAACUCUAGUUCAUCUCUUGUAUCCGAUCUUUGUCUCAAAACCUCAGAUUGGUACCUGUGGGUUGGUAGUAGUGUUGAUUACUCCUUGUAGUUGAUGCUAAUUGGUUUAUUUGGUGGAAGUUCAUUUGUUCAGAUCCUUAAUGAUAAUUUAUACUCCUCUGAUUUUGAACAUGAAUAUGUUGUGUGAGUAGUUUCGUUUGUUCCUGAGGACAUGGGAGAAGUCUUGUUAUGAGUAAUCAUGUGAAUUUGGUAUUCGUUCGAUAUUUUGAUGAGAUGUAUGUUGUCUUUCCUCUAGUGGUGUUAUGUGAGCGUCGACUACAUGACACUUCACCAUGAUUUGGGCCUAGGGGAAGGCAUUGGGAAGUAAUAAGAAGAUGAUGGGUUGCUAGAGUGACAGAAGCUUAAACCCUAAUUUAUGUGUUGCUUCGUAAGGGGCUGAUUUGGAUCCAUAUGUUUCAUGGUAUAGUUAGAGUUAUCCAUUCUUCGUUCGUAGUUGCGGAUGCUUGCGAGAGGUGUUAAUCAUAAGUGGGAGGCUUGUCCAAGGAAGGCCAGCACCCGACCACCGAUCCACCCACAUAUCAAAUUAUCAAAGUAACGAACGCGAAUCAUAUGAGCAUGCUGAAAACUAGCUUGACAAUAAUUCUCAUGUGUCCUCGGGAGCGCUUUGCUUUAUAUAAGAGUUCGUCCAGGCUUUUCCUUUGCUACAAAAAGGAUUGGGCCACCUUUUUGCACCUUAGUUACUUUUGUUACUUGUUACCCGUUACGAAUUAUCCUAUCACAAAAUUAUCUGUUACAGAUAAUUUCAGUGCUUGCAGAGAAUACCUUGCUGAAAACCGCUUGUCAUUUCCUUCUGCUCCUCGUUGGGUUCGACACUCCUACUUAUCGAAAGGACUACAAUAGAUCCCCUGUACUUUCGGGUCAUCAAGACUCUUUUCUGGCGCCGUUGCCGGGGAGUGAAGCGCCUUUGCCGAGUGGAAUUUGGUAAGGAAACAUUUAUAUUACAUGCUGAAAUUUACUGUCACUUGUCACUAUGAAAAAUAAUCCUUUGAGGGAUUUGUAUGGGGUAUCUUCACCCCGACCGUAUGAGAAAAGAGUUGCCCCUCAACCUACUGAACCUACUGAAAAUGUUUAUUAUGAAAUUCCUUCGGAUAUGAUAGAGAAACUACUAGCUAAUCCUUUGGAGAUGGAACACUACAUCCUGAUAUGCAUCUAAUCUAUAUGGAUGAAGUUUGUGGAUCAUUUAAGCUUGCAGGUUUGCCCGAGGAUGAUGUGAAGAAGAAGGUCUUCCCUUUAUUUUUGAAGGGAAAAGCAUUGACAUGGUAUAGGCUAUGUGAUGAUAUUGGAUCAUGGAACUACAACCGAUUGAAAUUGGAAUUUCAUCAGAAGUUUUAUCCUAUGCAUCUGGUUCACCGUGACCGAAACUAUAUAUAUAUAUAUAUAUAUAUAUAUAUAUAUAUAUAUAUAUAUAUAUAUAUAUAUAAUUUUUGGCCUCGUGAAGGAGAGUGUAUCGCUCAAGCUUGGGGGAGGCUUAAGUCAAUGUUAUAUUCAUGCCCCAAUCAUGAGCUGUCAAUAGAGUUUAUUAUUCGGAAUUUUUAUGCUUGGCUCUCUUGUAAUGAUCAAUCCAUGCUCAAUACUUCUUGUACUGGUUCUUUUAUGAAGAAGACUAUUGAAUUCAAAUGGGAUUUAUUGGAAAGAAUUAAAUGCAACUCUGAAGAUUGGGAACUCGACGAAGGUAAUGAGUCAGGUAUAAACCUUAAGGUUGAUUGUGUUAAAUCUUUUAUGGAUACCGAUGCUUUUCGUGAAUUUAGCACUAAGUAUGGACUUGACUCUGAGAUAGUAGUUUCUUUCUGUGAAUCAUUUGGUACUCAUGUUGAUCUCCCUAAAGAGAAGUGGUUUAAAUAUCAUCCUCCCACUUAAGUAAAAGUAGUAGAACCUAUUAAAGUUGAAGAAGAAACUAUUAGUUAUAAUGUUGAUCAUGUUGUUCCUACUGCUUAUAUUGAGAAGCCACCUUUCCCUGUUAGAAUAAAGGAACAUGCUAAAGCUUCAACUAUGGUUCGUAAGAGUUAUACUAGAACACAUACACCCCCUGAACAAAUUAAAGUUGAACCUAGUAUUACUAUGGUUAAGGAUCUCUUGGUUGAUAAUAUUGAUGGGCAUGUUAUUUAUUUCUUCGAUGAAGCUGCUAGGAUUGCUAAACCCAAUACUAAAGAUAAACAUAGAACCGUUGUUGGCAUGUCUGUUGUUUCUGUUAAAAUAGGAGAUCAUUGUUAUCAUGGCUUAUGUGAUGUGGGUGCUAGUGUGAGUGCAAUUCCUUUUACCUUAUCAAGAAAUUAUGAAUGAUAUUGCAUUUGCUAAGAUAGAUGAUAUUGAUGUUACUAUUAAGCUUGCCAAUAGAGAUACUAUAUCACCAGUUGGGAGUGUUAGAGAUGUUGAAGUCUUGUGUGGGAAAAUAUAAUACCCUACUGAUUUUCUUAUUCUUGGUUCCCCACAAGAUGAUUUUUGUCCCAUUAUAUUUGGUAGACCUUUCUUGAAUACUGUUAAUGCUAAGAUAGAUUGUGAGAAAUAAAUUGUUACUGUAAGUUUUGGGGAUAUGUCUCAUGAAUUUAAUUUCUCCAAAUUUCGUAAACAACCCCAUGAUAAAGAAUUGCCUAGUAAGGAUGAAAUAAUUGGUCUUGCUUCUAUUGUCGUGCCUCCUAUUGACCCUUUAGAACAAUAUUUGCUAGAUCAUGAGAAUGAUAUGUUUAUGAAUGAAAGAAAGGAAUUAGAUGAAAUAUUCUUUAAUCAAGGGCCUAUUUUGAAACAUAAUUUGCCUGUUGAAAUCCUUGGAGAUCCUCCUCCACCCAAGGGUGAUCCCGUGUCUGAGCACAAACAAUUAACUGAUACUUUGAAAUAUGCUUAUCUUGAUGAAAAGAAGAUAUAUCAUGUUAUUAUUAGUGCUAACCUUUCAAAGCAUGAAGAAAAAAGAUUAUUGAAAACUCUAAAGAAGCUCUGUGCUGCUAUUGGAUAUACUCUUGAUGAUCUUAAGGGCAUUAGUCCCACUCUAUGUCAGCACAAAAUUAAUAUGGAGCCUGAUGCUAAACCAGUUGUUGGUCAUCAACGACGGUUAAAUCCCAAGAUGAAAGAAGUGGUAAGAAAUGAAAUACUAAAGCUUCUGGGGGCAGGUAUAAUUUAUCCUAUUGCUGAUAGUAGAUGGGUAAGUCCUGUUCAUUGUGUCCCUAAGAAGGGAGGUAUUACUGUCGUUCCUAAUGAUAAGAAUGAAUUGAUUCCACAAAGAAUUGUUACCGGUUAUAGAAUGGUAAUUGAUUUCCGCAAAUUGAACAAAGCUACUAGAAAAUAUCAAUGCCCUCUACCUUUUAUUGAUCAAAUGCUUGAAAGACUAUCCAAACAUACACAUUUUCUUGCUUUCUAGAUGGUUAUUCUGGUUUCUCUCAAAUACCUAUGUCAAAAGAGGACCAAGAAAAGACCACUUUUACUUGCCCUUUCGGUACUUUUGCUUGUAGAUGUAUGCCUUUCGGUUUAUGCAAUGCACCUGCUACGUUUCAAAGAUGUAUGACUGCUAUAUUCUCCAACUUUUGUGAAAAGAUUGUUGAGGUUUUCAUGGAUGAUUUCUCUGUUUACGGAACUUCUUUUGAUGAUUUCUUAAGCAACCUUGAUAGAGUUUUGCAGAGAUGUGAAGAAACUAAUCUUGUCUUGAAUUGGCAGAAGUGCCACUUUAUGGUUAAUAAAGGUAUUGUCUUGGGGCAUAAAAUUUCUGAAAGAGGUAUUGAAGUUGAUAAAUCUAAAGUAGAUGCUAUUGAGAAGAUGCCGUGUCCUAAAGAUAUCAAAGGUAUAAGAAGUUUUCUUGGUCAUGCUGGUUUCUAUAGGAGAUUUAUUAAAAUCUUCUCUAAAAUUUCUAGGCCUCUCACUAAUCUCUUGCAAAAAGAUGUUCCUUUUGUUUUUGAUGAUGAUUGUGUAGAAGGAUUUGAAAUACUUAAGAAAGCCUUGAUUACUGCACCUAUUAUUCAACCACCUGAUUGGAAUUUACCCUUUGAAAUCAUGUGUGAUGCUAGUGAUUAUGUUGUUGGUGAUGUUCUAGGACAAAGAUUUGAUAAGAAAUUGAAUGUUAUUCAUUAUGCUAGUAAAACUCUAGACAGUGCCCAGAGAAAUUAUACUACUACUGAAAAGGAAUUUUUAGCAGUUGUAUUUGCUUGUGAUAAGUUCAGAUCUUAUAUUGUUGAUUCCUAAGUAACUAUUCACACUGAUCAUGCUGCUAUUAACUAUCGUAUGGAAAACAAAGAUGCUAAACCUGGACUUAUUAGAUGGGUUCUCCUAUUGAAAGAAUUUGAUUUGCAUAUUAUUGAUAGAAAGGGAGCUGAGAACCCCGUUGCAGACAACUUGUCUAGGUUAGAAAAUGUUCUUGAUGACCCACUGCCUAUUGAUGAUAGCUUUCCUGAUGAGCAAUUAGCUGUCAUAAAUGCUUCUCGUAAUACUCCAUGGUAUGCUGAUUAUGCUAAUUACAUUGUUGCUAAAUUUAUACCACCUAAUUUCACAUACCAGUAAAAGAAAAAGUUUUUCUAUGAUUUAAGACAUCACUCUUGGAAUGACCCACACCUUUAUAAAGAAGGAGUAGAUGGUGUUAUUAGAAGUUGUGUAGCUGAGCAUGAACAGGAACAGAUCCUAUGGAAGUGUCACUCCGAGGCUUAUGGAGGACACCAUGCUGGAGAUAGAACUGCACACAAGGUAUUAUAAUAUGGUUUUUGUUGGCCUACUCUCUUCAAGGAUGCUCGUAAGUUUGUCAUGUCUUGUGAUGAAUGUCAAAGAAUUGAUAAUAUUAGUAGACAUCAGGAAAUUCCUAUGAAUUAUUCACUUGUUAUUGAACCAUUUGAUGUUUGGGGCUUUGAUUAUAUGGGACCUUUUCCUUCCUCUAAUGGGUAUACACAUAUUUUAGUUGUUGUUGAUUACGUUACUAAGUGGGUAGAAGCUAUUCCAACUAGUAGUGAUGAUCAUAACACUUCUAUUAAGAUGCUUAAAGAAGUUAUUUAUCCGAGGUUUGGAGUCCCUAGAUAUUUAAUGACUGAUGGUGGUUCACAUUUUAUUCAUGGUGCUUUCGUAAAAUGCUUGCUAAAUAUGAUGUUAACCAUAGAAUUGCAUCUCCAUAUCAUCCUCGGUCUAGUGGUCAAGUAGAAUUGGGCAAUAAAGAGAUUAAAUUGAUUUUGCAAAAGACUGCUAAUAGAUCUAGAAAGAAUUGGUCUAAGAAACUUAAUGAUGCCUUAUGGCCUUAUAUAACUGCGUAUAAAAACCCUAUGGGUAUGUCUCCAUAUAAAAUGGUUUAUGGAAAAGCAUGUCACUUACCUCUUGAACUAGAACAUAAAGCUUAUUGGGCAAUCAAAGAGCUCAACUAUGAUUUCAAACUUGCUAGUGAAAAGAGGUUAUUUGACAUAAGCUUGCUCGAUGAAUGGAGGACCCAAGCCUAUGAGAAUGCCAAGUUGUUUAAAGAAAAAGUUAAAAGAUGGCAUGACAAAAUGAUACAAAAGCGUGAGUUUAAUGUAGGUGAUCAUGUUUUGCUAUUCAACUCUCGUUUAAGAUUUUUUGCAGGAAAGCUUCUCUCUAAAUGGGAAGGUCCUUACAUUAUCGAGGAGGUUUAUCAUUCCGGUGCCAUCAAAACCAACAACGCCGAAGGCACAAAUCCGAAGGUGGUAAAUGGUCAAAGAAUCAAACAUUAUAUUUCAGGUACUCCCAUAAAUGUUGAGACAAAUAUUAUUAAUACCAUAACACCGUAGGAGUACAUAAGGGAUACUUUCCAGAAAUUUCAGACUACGAAAAGGAAUAGGUAUGUGGUACGGUAAUUAAACCGACUCCAAAACUGUUGUAAGGGAAAUUUUUCUCCAUUUUAAAAUAUUUAAAAAAUUAGGAAAAUUGAAAGUAGUCCGAAAGGUGCACGAGGAGACCACAAGGGUGGAGGGCGUGCCCUACCCCCUAGGCGCCCCCCUGCCUUGUGGCCACCUUGUGUGCCUUCCGGACUUCGUUUUCUUGUGGAACACUUCUUUUGGUCGGUAAAAAAUCAUUAUAUAUCUCCCGAAGGUUUUGACCACCGUAGCACGACAAAAUACUCUGUUCUUGUUUCGAGUUGUUUUUCUGACAGAUCUAGAUCACCAUGACGUCUCCAAGCGCCCCCAAGGACAAGUUUUUUGAGAAGGUCAUCAACCCUUACCUCGCGGAGGUGCUGCGACACCCUCAAACCAUUGAGAUGCAUGAGGGGGUUCUUCACAUCCGUGAUGUUGAAGGGACGAAGACCGGAUGCGUGGAGAUAAGACUCGAAGCAAUGGAGCAGCAUGUUUUCAAGUGCCAAGGGAUGGUGGAACAUGGACUCAACGCCAACCACUUGAUGAUCGCGGAAUUUACCAACAACCACAAGUUGGAUGCCAAGAACAUUGGGGAGGCCAUCUUCAAGCUUCAUGAGAAAAUCGAGCAUCUUCAAGCCCGGAUCUAUGACCUGCAAAACCAAAACUGUGAGUAUGAAUACAGAUUUAAGAGGACGAAUUUGGCUGCAGAUUUGAGGAUCCCAGAGACUCGUUCAUCUUUUACGAUGGUGAACCUAUGCCUUGGAAGAUGGAGGAUAAUAUUCUUACUACAUCAACAACUCCAUCAUCACCACCGCUGAAGAAAGAGACAUAAAUACACGGGUAUGGGCACUCCCCUUGGCAACUGCCAAGCUUGGGGGAGGUGCCCCGGUAUCGUAUCGUAUCACCAUCACACCUUUACUUUUAUCGUUUUUCUUAGUUCAAUCCUUUUGGUUAUAUCUUGAUCUAGUAGAAUAAAAUUUUAGUAUGAUCUAGCUUUGAGUUUUGCUUUGAGAUCUACCUAUGUAAUCGAGUCCGUGAGCUAUAUAAUAAAGAUUAGUUUUGAGUUGAGGGCUUUACUUUCUUGCUAUGAUCUUGAGGGAAUAAAAUAAGAGAAAGAAUAAAAAUAAAUAAACAGAUCAUAUAAUUAUCUUAUGGAGAGUAAUGACUUCACAUAUAAAGAGUAUGAUGAAUAAAAUUUGUUAAGAGUUGACAAACAUAGUUUUGGUCAUUGUUGCAGCUAAAAGGAAGUAAUAAAGAAAGAGAGGUUUCACAUAUAAAUAUACUAUCUUGGACUUAUUUUGUAAUUGUGAGCACUCAUUAAAAUAUGACAUGCCAAAAAGUUGAUGUUGGACAAGGAAGACAACAUAAUGGGUUAUGUUUUCUGAUAUCGGAAUAGAAGUUAUAUUGUCGUGGAUCCUCCAACAUGUUGGGCUUGCUUUUCCCUCUUAUGCUAGCCAAAUCCUUUGCACCAAGUAGAGAUACUACUUGUGCAUCCAAAUAUCCCUUAACCCAAUUUUGCCAUGCGAUUUCACCAUACCUAGCUAUGGAUUGAGUAAGAUCCUUCAAGUAAGUUGUCAACGGUGCAGGCAAUAAAAUUGCUCUCUAAAUAUGUAUGCUCUAUUAGUGUGAAGAAAAUAAGCUUUAUACGAACUUGUGAUAUGGAAGAAAUAAAAGCGACGGACUGCAUAAUAAACUUCUUUAUCACAAGCGGCAAUAUAAAGUGACGUUCUUUCGCAUUAAGAUUUUGUGCAUCCAACCAUAAAAGCGCAUGACAACCUCUGCUUCCCUCUGCGAAGGGCCUAUCUUUUACUUUUAUCUUCUACCCUUAUACAAGAGUCAUGGUGAUCUUCACCUUUCCUUUUUACACUUUUUCCUUUGGCAAGCACUAUGUGUUGGAGAAAGAUCCAGAAAUAUAUAUAUCCACUCGGAUGUAGGUUAUCAUAAAGUAUUAUUGUUGACAUUACCCUUGAGGUAAAAUGUUGGGAGGCAAAACUAUAAGCCCCUAUCUUUCUCUGUGUAUGACUGAGGCUUUGAACCCAUAAGUAUUGCGUGAGUGUUAGCAAUGUUGAAAGACUAAAUGAUAGUUGAGUAUGUGGACUUGCUGAAAAGCUCGUAAAUUGACUCUUUCCGAUGUUAUGAUAAAUUGCAAUUGCUUCAAUGACUGAGAUCAUAGUUUGUUAGUUUUCAAUGAAGUUUUGAUUCAUACUUUACCUUGUGAACGAAUUGUUACUUUAGCAUAAGAAAUUAUAUGACAAUAUAUGUUGUUGUUCUAAAGAUGAUCAUCAUGCCCUCAUGUCCGUAUUUUAUUUUAUCGACACCUCUAUCACUAAACAUGUGGACAUAUUUUUCGAUUUCGGCUUUCGCUUGAGGACAAGUGAGGUCUAAGCUUGGGGGAGUUGAUAUGUCCAUUUUGCAUCAUGCUUUUAUAUUGAUAUUUAUUGCAUUAUGGGCUGUUAUUACCUAUUUUGGUACAAUACUUAUGCCUUUUCUCUCUUAUUUUACAAGGUUUACACGAAGAGGGAGAAUGUCGGCAGCUGGAAAAGGAGCAAAUAUUAUGGACAUAUUCUGCAUAACUCCAAAAGUCCUGAAAAAAAUUUGGAGAGUCAUUUUGGAAUUAAUAAAAUAUAUUGGGCGAAGAAAGCACCAGAGGGGGCCCACCAGCCAUCCUCAAGGGUGGGGGCGCACCCUACCCCCCUGGGCGCGCCCCCUGCCUUGUGGGCUCCCUGGCAGCCGUCCGGUGCCCAUCUACUGCUCUAUGGUGUGUUUUGACCUGGAAAAUAUCAGAAGGAAGCUUUCGGGAGAAGCGUCGCCGUCUCGAGGUGGAACUUGGGAAAAAUCAAUCUAGGGCUCCGGCGGAGCUGUUCUGCCAGGGAAACUUCCCUCCGGGAGUGGGAAACCGAAGCCAUCGUCAUCACCAACGAUCCUCUCAUCGAGAGGGGGUCAAUUUCCAUCAACAUCUUCACCAGCACCAUCUCCUCUCAAACCCUAGUUCAUCUCUUGUAUCCGAUCUUUAUCUCAAAACCUCAAAUUGUUACCUGUGGGUUGCUAGUAGUGUUGAUUACUCCUUGUAGUUGAUGCUAGUUGGUUUAUUUGGUGGAAGAUCAUUUGUUCAGAUCCUGAAUGAUAAUUAAUACUCCUCUGAUUUGAACAUGAAUAUGCUUUGUGAGUAGUUACGUUUGUUCCUGAGGACAUGGGAGAAGUCUUGUUAUAAGUAAUCAUGUGAAUUUGAUAUUCGUUCGAUAUUUUGAUGAGAUGUAUGUUUUCUUUCCUCUAGUGGUGUUAUAUGAACGUCAACUACAUGACACUUCACCAUGAUUUGGGCCUAGGGGAAGGCAUUGGGAAGUAAUAACUAGAUGAUGGGUUGCUAGACUGACAGAAGCUUAAACCCUAGUUUAUGCGUUGCUUCGUAAGGGGCUGAUUUGGAUCCAUAUGUUUCAUACUAUGGUUAGAUUUAUCUUAAUUCUUCUUUCGUAGUUGCGGAUGCUUGCGAGAGGGGUUAAUCAUAAGUGGGAGGCUUUUCCAAGGAAGGCCAACACCCGACCAUCGAUCCACCCACAUAUCAAAUUAUCAAAGUAACGAACGUGAAUCAUAUGAGCAUGAUGAAAAUUAGCUUGACAAUAAUUCUCAUGUGUCCUCGAGAGCGCUUAGUUACUUUUGUUACUUUAGUUAAUCAUAAGAGUUCGUCCAGGCUUGUCCUUUGCUACAAAAAGGAUUGGGCCACCUUGCCGCACCUUAGUUACUUUUGUUACUUGUUACCCGUUAUGAAUUAUCAUAUCACAAAACUAUCUGUUACCGAUAAUUUCAGUGCUUGCAGAGAAUACUUUGCUGAAAACCACUUGUCAUUUCCUUCUGGUCCUCGCUGGGUUCGACACUCUUACUUAUCGAAAGGACUAUGAUAGACCCACUAUACUUGUGGGUCAUCACUACCCAAUACAAUCAAAAGGUCGAUAUGAUGAAGAAGACUAGGCAAUACAUUUGUACAUUAACACUCCCCCUCAGGUGUGGCUCCCUCAGGUCUAAACGUGGAACGAAAGUCGACUGCAAUUUAAUUGCGCUAGCCGCUCUUGAACUCAAGACCUCUUGGCUCUGAUACUAUGUAGAUUGUGCAUGCUCUAGGGAAUGCAACAAAAAAAACUGAUCUGAUGGAAGAGACUAGCCAAUACAUUUAAACGUCAACACGAGUUAAUAUGCAUUCAUAUUCAUAUCGCAUCCGUGUGUAAGUGUGCAUGUGAGAUAUUCCAAAGAACAAAAACAUAUGUAGAAUAUACAAAAGUUCCUCUUGUUGAGCUGGAUUUAACACUGUAAAACUAUGUAUGUCGAAUUUGUUAAGUAAGAGCUUCUACAACCGGAGCUCCCACAUCCAUCUUAAACUUCUUAAAUUGCUUAAUUAGAUCCCUCUGUGUUAGUAUGGUAGGGUCUAAAGGCAAUUGAUAGUAAAACCUAUCACUAAUUGUCAAGCUACCAUCGGGCAAGUGAUUGUGUGACACCCAUGCCGUAUCUUCAACAACAUCAUGAAGCUGCUGGGUGGCACCAACCCACUGUUCAAAAUAUCUUCUGAUUUAGCGAUUUAUCAUCUAAUUUAUCGCUACUCGGGGGUGACCGGUAAGAUUAUACCUUAUCUUCACCGUUUAUCAUUUGGGCUGAUUUAUCGCUCUGAUAAGCGAUUUAUUGGGAAUCUACCGAUAAAGCGGGCCUAUCAUAGCACUAUGCUUGCAAAAACUAUGUUUAUUUGUGUUUGAUGAACCUUGUUAUGCAAUAUGUACUAUUAUUGUAUUUUGUUUGUCAUCAUACGAGGAUUCAAUGGCUAGGAAUCAAGGUAACACUUUAGUCCAAUAUUGUCUUGGUGUUGAAUAUAGCAUAUUUUAGUGUUGGGAGCCUAGGAUUUGUAAAAAAUGACCGAUUAAUAGUCGACAGAUAAAAUCGAUUAUUCGGCCGAUUUCUGAUUAAUCUCUAAUCCCCAGCUGACCGCGACGCUAACGAUAAGUGAUAUCCUCAACAUUGCACCAACCUAUGCAAAGUAGCAGCAUGACCGCACUGUUCGAAACAUAAAAAGGGAAUCACAAAACAACACAAGACAAUGGUUGAUUUCUUUACCCAAUGGGAGAGAUGACACUUUCAUCGGGUUCCAGAGGCCGCCGUCCCUCGCCGCCGUUAUGAUCCAGGGGAAUGGAAGCUGUGGAGGCAACGAGGUAGCGACGGAUCAGCGGGAGGACAUGAAUAGAAGUGGCGGGCGAAAGGGGGUCUACCAACUAAAAUUUAGGGAUGGGUCACUAUCGAGCAUAGCAGGUGAGCCCACAAUGGAGAAAGACACGCAUCAGAAGGGCUAAAUGGAAAUUAUGGCCGUAAUGGCAGCCCCCACAUCGACGGACACUCAAAGAGUCUUGUCGUCAAUAUUGGUGGCCCACAUCGGAGUGGAAAAUGGAAAUUAUGGCACAACGUUGGCCCCCCACAUCGCCCGAAAGGGUCAAUCAAAUCUCCUUGUGGCUGCAUUUGAUGUGGCGAAGUGGUGGGUCCAAAAAGGAAGGAAACAACCCAAAGUUGACGGAGAUGACAUGCAGUGUCAUACACCUAAUUUUUUCACAAUCAUUAGUGGUCUAGACCGAAAUAUGGAAGUUUGAGUGGCAGGACUCGAACAUGCAACUCUGGCAGUGGCACGGGCCGAUUCUUCCCAAAAAUAUAAUAUGAAAACUUUUUCAUGAUGGGUUUGAGGAUAUUGAUUGCUAUCGUACAUUUUAAUAUUUCCUUCUUAUAAACUAGAUCAAAGUGUAAUCAAACAAAACUAAUAUGCACUCUAUUCUGAAAUGAGGGGAGUAAGCCCUACCUAUUAGACAACAUGACCGUGGCUAUUGAUGAUUUUUGGGUACUAGUAAUGUCAUUUGAUAGGAUUGUUUUUGGCAUUUAUUUGGAUAAGUAUAACCUUUAUCCAACCAAAACUGAAACAUAUCAUUUAAUGACAUUAAUUGGAUAAGGAUAACCCCCACAAAGGAUAAGGAUAACCUUGAUGCCACCACAUCUAUAUAAGGCGACUGAAUUGUACCCGUCAUGACCACAAAAACAUACUGGUUGGCAGACUAUUGCAUAACUAUAUAUUUUCUGUUGUUUUGUGUUCUUAGGCAAUGGCGAAAAAUGGCAUCUUUCAAGUGCUCAUUGUUUUUCUCAUGGCGCAAGUCUGCUUGCUCAUGAUGAUAGCAACACCGGUAGCACAUGCAGCUGCUAGACCGGUGGGGUACAAUCCAGUGUGCUGCCCUAGGAACAUCUAUUGUUGCGGGUUCGGUAGCGGAUUGGCCAAUUCACCCGCACCAUCAAUUGUAUCUUGAUGUGUGGUUUUAUUCUCCCUCAAGUAGUAAGCUCGACAUAUAAAUGAUAUAUGCGGUUCAUGUGUUACCUAAUCCUGAAUAUUUGUGAUGCUACUAUCAAGAAGGUAUUGUACUAGUUACUUACAAAAUAAAAUGGGAGGAAAUUAUUAUAUAUCUUUUUUGCAAUAUACUACAAAGAGAUUUAAGCUUAUGUAUACUUUACUCCUUUUGGAAACUAGAUUAUUUGACAGCUUUGAUUUAAAGACCCAAAAAAUGAGUGGCGUGGCAUACACGUUAAACUCAUGAGUCUGUAGUGCGUGCCUUUGGGAAUCUCUGUUUUAUCAUCAUGUUGGUCGUACAUUCCGGCGAGGUCAUCCGUGUCGUGGCAACAUGCUUUAUUUUUCAUUGAGAACAUAAUUUUAAAGCAUUUAUUGGGUAAUGGAGUAUAUCAGCAAUUACUAGCUACCAAAUACUGUUGGGCAGGCUUGUUUGUGAAUUCAGGGAUGCACACUAUGUUUCUUUUUGCAAGAAUGCCAAGUCCAUAUAUUAAAAUUGUCCAAACCUUACAACAUCAUCAUUACAAAAGCAGAAAAUACAGCACAUAUCCUGGUGUAUAUGACCGACGUCUUUCUGCCGCACUCGCACCCCGUGAGCAAAACUCGAUGUCGCGAUUGGAUCCCUAGAACACCCUUAGAACCAGGGCCAAUCAUUCUCUACGUGUUUUACAGUGAGUGCUCGAUUCCUCAAAAAACAAUAAAAAAAAUAUCAUAUGUGAAUACAGCUCUUUGGUCUUUGAUGGAGCACGAAAGGUUUGUUUGUUGUGGAUCCUAUAUGUGUAAUCUAUCUAUCUAUUACUAUACUAACUAGAGAUUACUUAGAAACUCCCACGGCUAUUCAGAAUUACGAAUUGUUCAUCUGGUGGGACCGAGUUUGGCAUUGGGUUUGGUCGAGGACCCGGAAAGGGAAGGGAAAUGAAGUGAAGGCAAAGGACCAGCAGACAAAGAGAAGCGAAGGCCAUGCCAGGAGCUACUCAGUAAGCGCAGGCGGAUUUGACAUUAGAUACCCUUCUUUUAUUACAUACCGCCUCCAAUACUUACUGUAGGCGGUUAUGUUGUUCUAACAGUCUGCGGUGUGUGCAUAUUACAGGUAACUACGUCCCAGUUGAUCACAACCGAUGUUGGUUUCGUGCAUCAACUUGUGAUGAUUGCUUUGUUCAUACUCGCCUUCGGUGAAGUUGGAGUCGGUGGAUCAAGGACGAUAGGUGAUGACGAUGAUGCUUGUGUGCAGCCAUGGCAGUUGAUGUCUUCCUAGUUAAGUGCAGAGUCUAGUUGGUAGCCAGGUUGGACGUUGCAUGUGUAUUGUCAUGUUCCAUGAUGGUUGUCUAUUGGGCAUGUUGUUACGGUUUUUGCUCAAUUAUUUUUAAAUUAAUCAUGUUUUCUUUUUAAUUAAUGAAAAUGUUAAAUAUUUUGCCUCAGCUUAAUAAUAAAAGAGUGCAAAUCUAAGUAACUAUCAUGUACUUCGGGGAACGACGCCAACGAUACAUUUGCACCAAACCACUAGCAUAAUUGGCCUCAUUGCCGAUUGACGCGGCUAGCUCGCUAGGCCAAAAACUGGGAGCGCCCAGACAAAUAGAAGAGAAUUCCUUAUUUGGUCCUUUCUUAAAAUCUGCUUCCCUUUUUGGCCCAAAAUUUUUCACCACAACUUCAUUUUCUUCUUUACACUUCCGAUAUUUUCUAUUAACACCAUGAAGUGCUGAGAUGAAAAUUCCUAUUUACCCUUGAUUUAGCAUGCUGAAAAAACAUAGGAAAACCCGCGUGCGUGAGAACCCUCCCACACGUUCACUCCCCUAUUCUCUCCCCGACUUACUGCGAGAUGCUAGCCCUAACCCUACGACGGCGGCGGAGGGCACACAACGGCGACGACGCGAGGCUGGGAGAGCGGUGUGGAGGAGGGUGUGGCCGAGGUACUUAUGGAUGGUAGGGUGGAAGGCACGAUGGAGGAGGGCCAUGUCGCUGCACCGGUCUCGGCCUCGGGCGGCCAUGGUGGGGCGACGGAGGGGGCAUGGUGGGGCAACGGCUACAGCGCGACUGCUAAGGGGUGGGGCGACGACUACACUUUGGCUGACGCUGAUGUAGGAUCGGUAAGGGCAGAGCUGGGUGCUCGGCCUCGACGACAUGGCUAGAAGGGGGACUCCUCUCUUUCUUCUCUAGAUUUCUCCAAAUAUAACAUAUUACUUUGAGUUCAUUCAUCAUUGGCUAUUUGACGGUUUUGUAUGCAAUAAAUUAAUCACCUCAAUUGUGCAAUAAAUAAAUUAAUCAGUCUUGAUUGAGAUAUGAGAUCACCUCAAUUGUAUUGUAUUCUUAGAGAUGAAUAUUUGCUGUGAGAUCUAAAAUGGAAAAAAAAGUCAAAAACAUUAGUUUGAUACUAUAAAGCAAGUAUGUUCAUAGAUCUUGGAUACUAUAUUUACAGAUAAUACUUUUAUUUAUUUUAAAUAUAAAGCAAGUAUGUUCCAGUUCAUACAUAAUUGAUCUUCCUUUUAAUGUUUGUUGAAAAUAUGCACAUGGGUUUGAUCUGCUUGUGCUACUGUAUAAGGAAGUUGUAGGAGUAGAACGUACUCAUGAUUAGGUUUCUCUUGCUUUUACAGGAUGGAUCCAAAUUCAACUUAUCUGCUGAAAGUAUUCUAAUUUCUUCCUUACCACCAUGGCCAAGGCUUGGAGAACACAAAACUAAGAAAACGGGAAAAUUGACUAACUCUGAAUCUUGAGGAUAAAAAAUGUAACCUAAAAUAUGUUUGAAAAUUGGUUCACAAGUAAUGCAUUGUUUCUAUUAUUUGUUUACUCUACCGUUGCCAUGCAUGCACAUGAUUGUCUCAAGUUAAUCUGGGCCCAUUUUUCAUUGAAGUGAUAUGCCAAACUAGCAAACAAUUGUUCCUUGGAAGGUAAAUGCCAAACGGAAAAGGAAAAAACUUGCUACAGAAAUUGCAAACAUUCCUAUGGUGCUAAAUGACAGCCUUGCGAUGUGCACAAGAAGCAAAAGAUUUAACCCAGCCAGCCCUGCAUUGAGCACGAGAAGCAAAAGAAGGCUUAGCUCGUGAUUAUCUAGUUCAUUACGUGUUUAUUGCAAACUGUUCAUGCGCUCAAUCUAUCAUGUGAGCUUUUGCAUACUGUUUAUUCAAGAUGCUCCUUUUGGAAACUAUUUAUGUGCUCAGCUCAUCAUGUGAGCUUGUGAGCUUUGGUGUUGUUUAUGUGAUGUAUGUGACUUGGAGGUGUUCUAAUUGGGCUUGUGUAUGUGAUGUAUGUCACCUGGUGGUAUUCUAUAUGAAACUGGAUGCUAUGAUAGUUGUGGAUGGUACUUGAUGAGUUACGUGCAUAUGUUGAAGAGUUUGUAGUCGUGUUGUCAUGAUAUUAUAUGAAUUGUGUGCAUAUAUGAAUUGUUGGCAGGGUAUAUGACAAUUUUCUUAUUAAAAUCCAAUGAUUUAACUCUGCAUUGAUCAUAUAAUCUGCUCACAUACUACACUGGGGGGUAAAGCAGUCUUUUUAGGUUCGACUUAACACCUUUAAUGGUCAAAACUGGCGGAAAUGGCACAUAUAGGGAACCAAUUGAAGUUUUAGUGCUAAGAGAAUCUACAGCCGGACUUGGAAAAUUUGGCCCCUCAAACGCUCGCGGGCGCGUUCGGGGGCACUGACCGGUCACACCUCCUAUUUGGUGAUAUGCAUUCAAACACCUCAUUUUCAUCCCCUAAAUCCAUACAAACCAGGCAAAAAAAAUUCCUAUGUAAUACGUACACCACGUUAUUCUAAACUAUGUUUCGCCGUCGGAGAUGUCCACGAUGUCCGUGCCGGACGCCAGGUAGAUGGGCGCGUAGGAGUGCUCCGGCUCCUCCUCCUCUUCCUCAUCCAUAGCCGCAGGCAUCUCGUUGACGUCCGCGGGGUGCUCCGCCUCCGCCUCCUGCAAACCAUCCGCGUUGUGCUCUGUUUUGCCUCCGCCUCCUGCACACGCCGCCGCUUGGCCUCCGCCGCCGAUUCCGACCGGAGAGACUCGAGGAUCGCCUGCAGAUCCACGGCCCCAGCGUCCCCCACAUCCUCCUCCUCCUUCAUCAUGCUCCUCCUCCUCUGGAUCUACCGCAUCCAGGGGUAGCCCCACUGCUAUCUGGGCUUCGUGCCUUGCCAGGACCUGCUCAAGCGAGCCUCAAACGCCCGGGUUGGCCGGCACCCCUCAUAUCCAGCCCAAAUUCGGGGAGAGUAUGGGGGCGAAGACCGCCCCAAACCUGUCUGGGUCAUAUUGUCGUGACCGGGCUGUCCGCUCGGACAUUUGUGACGGGUUUGAGGCGCCCGGCUAUAGAUGCUCGAAAAAGGAAAGCAUUCUCUUUCGAGUGCCAAAAAGGAAAGUAAAUUUUCAGAAAGCGUCAAAUAAGAAAUUCUCUCCAUAAACAGAUGUGAGGGCAUGUACAAUGGUUGAUAAGAUAGUCGUAUCUUAUGUCUUACAUGUAAUUUAGAGAUGCCAAAAAAAUGUCUACAAUGGGUCAUCUCUUAGUCUUAUCUACAAUAACUAGUUAUUCCUAAAAAUGUGGUGAAACAUAUUGUGCUAAGAGAUCAUCUCUUAUCUUCUUUUAAAUAAGAGAAGACAAGUCUUUUUUAUGAGUUAUAUCUCCUCCACCUCAUUAUUUAUCCUACAUGGCGCUGUACAUGGCCUGAAAAGAAAACGGACACGGCACUCACGCACAUGCUCCUACGUACGUGUUAUCCUACUCACCAACACGCUGCCUGCUAGCAAUCGAUGCCUCCUCUUAUCCGGUGCCGAGUGUAGUGGAGCGCCCGCCCAUCACAUGCUCGGUUUUCUAUAUGACCAACGAGCCGGCGCCACCUGUGCUCUGCCGCAGCGCCGGCCAUCCCGUCUGCCCGCCGGUACCACCGCCCGUCUCAAAACCACGGUCUCGCUUCCCACUGUAUCAAAUCGCCUUUCUCCCCGCCCGCUGGUUGCGCGGUUUCCUGCAACCUAUAAAUCGAGCCGGAGAACCUCACCUGUCCAUCCAUCUCAUCUCAUCCAACUCACACUACUACUGAUCUCAGCUAGGUGUACUUGAGUUCACUAGCUAGCUCUCUCCCACGAAGAUGUCUACGGUGACUCGUGCCCACCUCGACCAGAGGCUCGCCGCCGCCAAGCGCUGCUCCAAAGGUAACCAAAACGAUAUCAUGUCGUGCCGGUCCUCAAGGGCACAUUGCAGCUUUCUGUACAAUCUCUGCUGAAAUUUGAUCGUGACUAAAAUGUAUCUGUUGAUUCGGAACUGCAGAGGCUGCCAUGGCGGGAGCCAAGGCCGCGGCCGUCGCCACCGUCGCUGCCGCAGUCCCCACGGUAAGUUGCCAUUCAGUUCUUCGAUGAAAUCCUUGCACGGUUCAUAGCAUGUCUCAUGAAUGCGUUACCUGUAACUUCAGCUGGCGAGCGUGAGGAUGCUGCCGUGGGCCAAGGCACACCUGAACCCCACCGGGCAGGCGCUUAUCAUCUCCACCGUCGCCGGGAUGGCCUACUUCAUCGUCGCCGACAAGACCAUCCUCUCCAUGGCCAGGAAGCACUCCUUCGACGACGCGCCGGAGCACCUCAAGAACACCUCCUUCCACUAAUUAGACUAUAAUAGUAGAUCCAUUAGUAGUGCGC